UCUGCUAGAGGUUCUCUCUGUGCUCGGAUUCGGGCCCCUCUAGAGACAACGGGUGUGCAUGCUGCUCUCUCCGCCUCUUCCAAGUUCCUCCUCAAUGGAGUGCCUGGCCCGAUCAUUCCGCAUGCUAGGAGGCUUCGGCAAGGCGAUCCCCUCUCCCCGAUGCUCUUCAUCAUCGCCAUUGACCCGCUUCACCACAUCCUCCAUCGCGCGACGGAGGAGGGCAUCCUCAAGCCUUUCCGGGCGGCUAAUGUUCAGAUGCGCGUCCCCCUCUAUGCGGAUGAUGCUGGCAUUUUCUCUAGCCCCCACGUGGACGAUCUACGGGCGAUCAACUCCCUCCUUCGGAUUUUUGGUGAUGCCUCGGGCCUCCGCACCAACCUUGAGAAGUCGGAGAUCUUCCCCAGUGGCUGUGACCCGGGGCAGAUUGCGGCAAUGCUGGACGUUUUCCCGGCUAAGCUUGGCUCCUUCCCCUACACUUAUCUUGGCCUCCCUCUCUCGGCGACCCGCCUUAAAGGGGCUGCUUUCUAGCCCCUAAUCGACAAGGUGGCCUCGCGCCUCGCGGGGUGGAAGGGCACUCACUCACCAAGGCUGGCCGCGCCCUCCUCGCUAAAUCGGUCCUCUCCGCCAUGGUGACCUACCACCUCACGACGUUCAACAUCCCGGGCUGGGUGUUGCGACGUAUAAACAAACUCAUUAGGACUUUCAUCUGGAUGCGCCGCCGCUCGACGGAUCAGGACGCGUCCUCCCUUCCCCUGGUCAACUGGGGCACGGUCUAUCGGCCUCGUGCCCUCGGUGGUUUGGGGAUCCUGGAUCUUGCCCGCGUGGGACGGGCUCUGCGUCUGCGUUGGCUGUGGUUUGAUUGGGUUGACCCGAAUAGGCCAUGGCAUGGCUUGGCUCUGCCCUGCGACUCCACGGACAGAGAGCUCUUCUGGGCCUCGACGAAGAUCUCCCUCGGAGAUGGCGCUAGUCCCUUUUCAGGUUGGACGCUUGGCUUCCCGAUGGCUCCUCCCCUCGUCAGCGUUGGCUGGCCCUCUUUGCCAUCGCUACUAGGUAACUCCGCACCGUCCAAAAGGAACUUUCGUCGGCCACUUGGAUUCGCUCCCUCCAAUGUAUCACCACUUUUGAGCAACUUCAGCAAUUCGUCCACAUGUGGGACUACAUUCGGUCCGUCCAGCUCUCCCCCCGGGAAGACACCAUCACCUGGCGAUGGACCUCCUCUGGUGAUUACUCGGCGGCCUCUGCGUAUCAAGCCCAAUUCCUGGGGUCCUCCCCCCCCCCCUUCUCGGUCGACAAGAUUUGGAAGGCUCACGCGGAACCCAAAUGCAAAUGCUUUGCGUCGACCAUCGCUCACGGGAAGAUUCUUACGGCGGACAACCUUGCGCUCCGGGGGUGGACGCACAACCCCAUUUGCCAGCUCUGCAAGAUUCACCCCGAGACCAUCGCCCACAUUUGCCACGAUUGCUGCUUCUCCCGGGAUGUUCAUAGCUCCAUCUGUAGAUGGAGCCAUUCCGCACCCCCUUCCAACCCCUUCCCGACUGGCACCCUACUGGAUCACUGGGACGCCGCCAUCUCCGGCCUUCCGAAGAAAGAAAAGCGCUCCUUUAGCGGACGCCUGAUUUACACUUGGUGGGGUAUCUGGAAGGAGCGAAACCGCAGGGUCUUCCAAGGCAAGGCUCUCACAGCGCUAGAAGUUGCUCACCUCAUUUGGGAGGAGAUCCAAUGUAGAACUAGGGCGUGCUCUCACGACCCGGGAGAUUAGUCUCUUCAGCGCCUCUUUUUCCUUUCUUUUUGCUCCCCCCCCCCCCUCUUAACCAGGGAUCCCUCUCGGACUCCUUUGUACGGUUACUUCUUUCUUCUAAUCGAAUGACGGAAAUCGACUGUCUUUACCCCUAAAAAAAAAUCUGAUCCAUAGAGUUUAUAAGUAGGUGUUGACUUGGACACAAAAGGUUUUGGUUUUCUGAUUUACUCAAUAAAAAAUGCUGCGAAAAACUUUUCACAUCUCUCAAGGUUGAAAGCCUGGACGUUGACAAAUGACAAAGGCUUAGCUACAACAUGGUUCAGAAUAUGCUCUCAUUUUAUCACCACAUGGUUCAACCAAAACGACGUUCAUGCUAAAUUAACCCUGGUUUAUAUGUCCCUACUUUUUCAAGACCUUCCACCCAAAGGACCACAGAUCGUCCAUCCUCAUCAACAGAGACGGGUCCAACUCUCUCACUGUCUCACGUUCUCCCUUUCGUUGUUCACUUGUUCGGUAACAAAACAUAUAUACUCCGUAUUUUUUUUAUAGAACAUGCAAGGAAGAGAGCUGUGUUGCAUGUGCUUACAUAAAUGAAAGUGGUUACAGAAAGUGGUACUGUAAGAAACUUUCGACUGACAACGAACUUCGCUUAUGCACUGUUCUUUUGGAUGUGGAUCUGCUCCGUUUUAAAAUGGAAAUGCUUUCAUGGGAUCCUCAUCGGGAUCAGUUCAUCAAUAAACAAAGCCAUGCAAGAGGGGUUGCCAACUGGAGCCCCAAAUCAUCUUAUGUCCGGAGGCCGUACAUUCAUGUUCUUGACCUGCGGUUUCCCCGUUGGAUCUCUGACAUUUACUGCUGCACGAACUAGUGCUCCUCUUGGAUCAUCGUGUAUACUCUGGGUCUGGAAUUCUGGUCACCGUACAGGACAGCCAUCUAUGUGUAGCAUUUUGCCCCUUGUUCCAAAUACCACGAUUUCGCACGGUGUCCCAGGACCCAAACUAUUUCCCACGGAAAAUCAGGUAGAACUCUCCCCGUUCUAAGCAAGUGCUGGUGGUCUCCCUGACAGUUUUGACCUUUCUUCCAAUUCCGAUUCCGUUAGUGGAAUGGUGGCGCUGACACAUUAAGCCCUUGGUAGUACAUUGAUGUCUCGAUCUGAUGAAAAGGUUCAUUCCUGCAAUUAAUUUCCAGUUACCAUAUGGACCUGGCCAAGUGUCAGAAUCAGACGCACGAGGGGCCAAAAUGUGCAGAAAUUAAGUGCUGCCAGGAUAUGCCAUGCCGGCCGGAGCCGAAGUGAGUGCUGCAAUGGAAUAUAGGCACGACAUACAGCAAAGGAACAAGAGGUGAGAAACAACGAAAACGGCCUAAAAAUAUUUUCGCCCCUCUCUCUUUCUUUUUGCCCGGUCGGGGGACCUUUCUUUCUACUCCCAACAAGUCGAAUCUGCACAUGUUUUUUCCUGCUGAAAUUCGAAAAGUUAAGAUGAUGACGGACGAAGAAAAGAGAAGGAAACAGAGUCCGCAGGAUGAGCCGAGGCUGUCACAAAAGAAGGAUCACAUUCCACCAGUGAUCUCGUUGUCGUUCCCCCGCGUGAAACGUGCAGUGUUUUGCCUGUGGACUUGAGUCUCUUGUCAACGGAGUCUCUCGCCACCUCAGAAAAGGAAACGGCUGUACACUUCACAACAGUCACUGACUCACUGGCCGAUCCCCACCUGGUGUGGCUCACUGACCCAGUGGAUCUACUACGGCCCAGAUCGAGCCGCGCAGACAGGCCGGCACGAAAGGACCAAAAAUUACCCGUCGAGCCAAGGCCCAAGGUAAACAACCACAUGCCUGAUUGCCAUGUCACCUCUCGUUCGUCCACCCCUUUUUUUUACCUUAUCUACCCCCCAAUAAGCAAGUGUGAGCCCCUACAAACAAACCUCACCACCACUACUUGCCACCACUUCUUCUCUUCGAUCGAUCUUCCUCACGAGCUAGUCACCACCCCACCACGGCCAUAAUUCACGUUCCCGUAUAUGCAUCUCACCAACCACCAACCAGGUGACCAAAACUCAUCACGCGCAUAUGGUUAACUACCAAAGCCCAGCUACAGCUAGCCUGCCCUGUCUGGCCGUGAAUCCAGAUCCCAAAAUUGCAAGCGACGAUCGAGAGAGGAAAACAAAACGAAAACUUAAUCAGGCCAGUAAUUAACCCGUCAUCUGUCUCCAUCCACACUGCUAUAUAAGCCUGCGCCGUUGUACUCUACCUAGGCUCGUCCAGUCCAGACAGCCGCGUCAGCACUCGCUCCAAUAAGUCCUAGCUAGCAAGAUCCAUCCAUCCAGCCAGCCGGCCGGCCUGCCACUCGGUCCGGAUGGAGGGCGCCGGCGAGGAGAUGGCGCGGCGGCUGUGGGCGGAGCUCCCGGUGCGCGUGGACUGGGCGGCCGUGGCGGCGCAAUGCGCGUACGCGUGGGCGCAGGCCAGGGCGUUCCUGGUGGUGCCCGCCGUGCGGCUCCUCGUGUUCGUCUCGCUCGCCAUGACCGUCAUGAUACUGCUCGAGAAGCUCUUCGUGGCCGCCGUCUUCCUCUCCGUGAAAACCUUCCGCCGCCUCCGCCCCGAGCGCCGCUACCGCUGGCAGCAAAUAACCGCCGGAGACGGAGAAGACGAGGAGGCUGGCCUCAGCGGCAGCGCCGCGUUCCCCGUCGUGCUCGUGCAGAUCCCCAUGUACAACGAGCGCGAGGUGAGUGAUUUGCUGAGAAAUGUUGGCCUUGCUUGAUGUUGAUGCUGCUGUUGCCGUGUGUGGUUCGAUCGUGGGAUUGAUUUUGUUCCUUUGUUUGGGCGUUGUUGGAUGGGGAAUUGGAAGGUGUACAAGCUGUCGAUCGGGGCGGCAUGUGCGCUGGAGUGGCCGUCCGACCGCGUCGUGAUACAGGUGCUGGACGACUCCACGGACCCCGUUGUGAAGGUAAUUAAGCACAGCCCACCGAUUCUCUCAUGCACAUUCUUAAUUUCUUCCCAUAUGCAUACAUAUUACACGCACUGCGGUCAAUCAUUCGCUUCGUUUUGUUCGCACGUUAAUUACAUGCAACAUUUACUCUUGUGGUCUGUGCAUGCGCGUCGUUUCGUGGGUUGGCAUUUGGCAUGUGCCAACCCGGCGCUGGCAAGCGGCAGCAAUGACAAUGGAUGCUUCCAGCUAACUAGUACUCGGGAGUAGCCUUUAACCGUAGUAGUAGUGCUGGGUCUGCUGGCCGGCCGCCGUGUGGUUCAGCGGAAUGCUCGACUGUUUUGUUUGGUACUGUAGUAGUAAAACCAGUGACAUGUGUGGUCCUGGCUAACGCGUGCGUCCACAGACGUUACCUUGGACCGUCGAGCUCGAUCGUCUGUCAUUUUUUUUUAUCUCGCUCUCGCCCACGUAGACAUCACUCUUGAGCACUGGCCGGAAAGUGGACACGAUGAAGUGGCGCGCGCGGCCACAUGGACGCCCGUCCGAAGAGAAUCCUCCAUUCCUCACUGUCUCGCGACGCCAACCAAAACCGGUCCGGCAAUCCAGCAUGGCGCCAAUGGCGCGCACGGCCCGAGGACGGACCCACCCGCCCGGCGUGACAGACGGCUCUAGCGCCUGGCCUAGCGACCCGGCCCACGGAGACGCCAACCUGGGACGGCCAUUGUUAAUUGAGCUCGCAGCGCCACGCUCCGCUUGCCGGCUCAGAAACGACCCGGUCAAUCUGGUCGUUGCGAUUCUCAGUAGUGGGCAGCAUUGGGAGUGUUGACCGCUAUGACAUGGUGGGGCCAUACCGGGUCCCACCUGUCAGGGACGGUAUUUCGAGUGGAAUUACAGUUCCUCUCCCCACGGAGCCUAGCACUUUGUCGUUGAAUUAUGGGGCGUGCGCGACCGGUCGAUUCUGAUUUGAUCGCGGCAGGAUCCAGACGAUUAAACAGCUCCAGGCUUCUUAUGCGGUUUUUCAGAAACUAGCAUUGCUAGCAAAAGAAUCCAUGCGAUGUUACGAAACAACGGAAAGUGUAUCAAUCACGAGCCGGUGGAGGCGAAGUCUGGACAUUGAUUUUUCGAUUGGAUUGAUUUCCGUACUGAGAUUGAUACCGAGAUUUUUUGUUUGGGUUCGGAUUGAUUUCCAUACUGAGAUGGAUAUGAAGAAUUUUAGAUUUCAUGCUAAGAAGCUUGAUUUAUUUUAGGACUGUUCGUAUUAUGUUGUGACAAAUUUGGACCGUACGAUAACUUUCGAUAAAUCUAAACCGUAGAAUUUCUGCUACUGAAAUCGUGAAUAAGACGGGAGGAAAAAAAAAGACAGUGACAUAUUGAUUGUAAUUUUAACGAAAUUUACCGUAACAGCAGAUUAGCAGUACUACGUACUAAUACGCCAGUAGCCAAGCCAUGCCAGUAGCAGAGCAGGAGUGGCAUUAUUGGUCACUGACCGCCGGCCGGCCGGGACAGGCUGGUGGAUCUACUGGCCGGCCGGACUGCAAGGUGAUACGCGAUGCAGAUGUUCUGUUUUCUUCUUCUUCUCUCCAAUAUAAUCCCGGCCACAGAUGAUGUGGGUGUCGUGCGUGUCCAUAUUAGGCCUACCUGCCAAUGUGCAGGAUAACUUAUGCAGAUUCGCGGCAGCAACGUGCCACCAGCAAGAAUGUGCGAGAGCAAGCGCAGAGAAUCAGGUGCUGGAGCAUUUGUCUGUGGUCCAUGUAACCCGGUGGUAGUAGCUCUUGCCUCUUGGACAGUUGGACGCCAUUUUUCCCUUUCCUUUCUGAGAUGCAGGCUUGGCGGCGUGGUGGCGACCUUCUCCAUUUUAAGUUCUCUGUCGUCGUUUGAUCUUCGAAGCAGCAGGAUGGCACCUUUUUUCUUUCUGAUUAUGAUUAGGCUGAUGGGGCCAUGGGAGUAGGCCACACUAAAGACACCUUUAUUUAGGACAUGGUUAGAGAAUUCUAGGGUCCUUAAAGUUUUCCUGAUAGUACUAGCUAGUAGGAGUAUUAUGCAUGCAUGGUUGUCUCCACCAACGGGCUCACGGGCCAUGAGGCACACAUGUUCCCAAUUAUUCUAUGGUGUACCUUAGCUAGGAGUGGAUCAGAGAUGGGAAUUAACUAAAAAUGGCUGGUCGUGUAGACAUGUGACAUGGAACGUGAGGAAGCGUGACAGUGGGUUAGGUAGCUGGAUCUUGAUUGGCGAGUGGUUCCAGGGUCAGCGACAAUGCAUCGUCCGUCCGUCUCGCCAUUUAAUCCGUAGGAUUAAGAAGUGGAGAAAUAAAAAAAUUGAGGAAUUUUCACCAAAGAACAUUUUACUAUGCUGGAGGGAAAAUAUAGAAGUAUGUACGGAGUAUAUUUGUAAGAGAUCUUUCACAGCACAAUCAUUCCAGGAAUAAAGCUUCGUGCCGUCAGAUCCGGUAGCCACAGCUGCUAUGCUCGUGGCUCGUGCGGCGUCCUGAAAUCACGGCAGACUUGGCUACGAGUCCACGUAGGACGGUAGGAGUACUAGCCUCGUAGGAUGCAGAGGAAGUCGUGCGAGGAGGCACACCUUCUUCCCGGACCCCGGCCGGAUGGUUAAUUACCACAUGCCAUCCCGUGCCCGCGUGCUUGAGCUUUUCCCGAGUUGUUCAGGUUGUCUGCAUCGUUUCGAUGCUUUUGAACCCCACUCCUUGAUGUUGGGUUCAGAAUAAUACUUUAGUGUUAUCAGAACUACAGUUAAUGCGAUGUAGAGAACAAAAAAAAAAGCGACGGGAGCUCGUCUUCAGCCUUCCCGGAAUACAUUCGUAGGCAUAGUAAAAGGACCUAAAGGAGUCCAGUAGUCGAUAAAAAAGGGAGUCCAGUAGUAAGCACAUUCUUUUUGUCGCAACUUUUGAAUAACUUUUCAUGUGCUGGCAUAUGGGCUUUUGGGCUCUACUUGUAUACUGGGCUGGAUGUGGCCUGUAUUUAGGAUGCCAUAGCCCCAGACUCCCCACUGAUAUCGCGGCUUUUUCUGAAACUAAAAAUAAAUGGACCGUCGGGGUCCCACUGCAUACGGCAGAAGGACGGCGGCGUUCGCCGGCUUCUAGGCAUGGCCGGGGGUAGAAUGGUGGCGAUUGUGGGCGAGCCGGAGCGGGUACGCUGAGAGGAAUAGGGGCGGCGAGGGUACUACAUGAAGGCGCCGGAGGAAUAGUAGGGUUUCUACGGCGAGGUACUAACCAAUGCGUCUCAUGGAUCUGACCUAUCCGAUAUUUGAUUCAUCAGUUGAUUAGCUUCUCUUGGAAUGUGGUAGCUGGUAGGAGAAAUGUUCGGAUCGGGGAAUAUUUUGGUUAGUUUAUUCGCAAUUUCUAUCGGUGCAUAUGUGUGAAAUGUGAUUAGGUUGGUGAACGCGAUUCUGGGUUUCAUUUCACAUUCUCACUUAAGGAUUUUUUUUCAUAUUUUUUUAGCGAGGCUCUUUUAUUUUAUUUACUUUCCCGUUGUUAGAAGCACAGAUAGUAGUAGAUGCAAAUUACGCCUUAGAAGGCAUGAAUGUUUUGCUAGAUAGGUUUGGACAGCAAAGCGCCCAACUGACCAUAAUACUAUCUGUAAGCUAAUGAUUAAACCUUGUAACCGAAUUUUAACAUUAUUUCCCCUUUGUUUUCUUUUUGUUUUUUAGGACUUGGUGGAGAUAGAGUGCCAGAGAUGGAAGGGCAAAGGUGUGAACAUCAAGUACGAGGUCAGAGGGAACCGGAAGGGGUAUAAAGCCGGUGCGCUUAAGGAAGGAUUGAAGCACGACUAUGUCCAAGAAUGCGAGUACAUUGCCAUGUUCGAUGCUGAUUUUCAGCCAGAGUCUGAUUUUCUCAUGAGAACCGUCCCAUUCCUUGUGCACAACCCGGAAAUCGCCCUAGUUCAGACUCGCUGGAAAUUUGGUCAGUUUACAUUUUCUUUGUUGUUGUCAGCCAAUAUAUCCCAUAACUCCACGCGAAAGAUAUCACUUUAAAUCAAUUGGAUCUAAGUCUCUUUUUACUGCUUUUGCAGUUAAUUCUGAUGAAUGCUUACUGACAAGAUUCCAAGAAAUGUCACUGGACUACCAUUUCAAGUUUGAGCAAGAGGCUGGGUCUGUAGUAUACUCGUUUUUCGGUUUCAACGGUACGUAUUUCACCGAUAUUUAGCUCAGGCAUCCAAAUCAGCACACUAAGUACUUACAAUAUCGAUUUUUCAUCUUCCAGGGACAGCUGGUGUCUGGAGGAUCUCGGCCAUUGACGAUGCUGGGGGCUGGAAGGACCGGACAACUGUCGAGGACAUGGACCUGGCUGUUCGCACAGCAUUGCAGGGCUGGAAAUUUGUUUACGUCGGUGACGUAAAAGUACGUCAAUUCUCCUUUACCUGAUUUUCAGCAAUAAGAGAUCUUGUCAAGAAACAAGCCUAAUGGUCCACAUAAUAUUGUGUUUCUAUCUGGUUAGGUCAGGAGUGAGCUACCAAGCACAUUCAAGGCAUACCGAUUUCAGCAGCACAGAUGGUCUUGUGGACCUGCAAACCUGUUCAAGAAAAUGUUGAUGGAGAUCUUAGAAAACAAGGUUAGUGUGUUGAUACAGAUGUCUUUGGCAAAUGCAUCAUAUCGUCUUAUUGCCUGACACGGUUUCCCUUUCUCUGUGUAGAAAGUGUCAUUUUGGAACAAAAUCCACCUCUUGUAUGAUUUCUUCUUUGUCGGGAAGAUUGCUGCUCAUACAGUGACAUUCAUGUACUAUUGCUUUGCGAUCCCAUUGUCAGUUUUCUUCCCUGAGAUUCAGAUUCCUCUUUGGGGGGUGGUUUAUGUUCCAUCAGUUAUUACCCUCUGCAAGGCUCUUGGAUCACCAAGGUAACAUGCGUUUUGAAAUUAAGUUUCAGAAUGACAGUAGCACUAUUACAUUCAGUUAACACCAGAAAAUCUUCUCUCUUUCAGUUCAUUUCAUCUGGUGAUCCUCUGGGUCCUUUUUGAGAAUGUUAUGUCGUUGCACCGGAUAAAAGCAGCAGUAACUGGUCUUCUAGAUGCUGGACGAGUCAAUGAGUGGGUUGUCACUGAGAAAUUGGGAGACGCCAGCAAGAUAAAGCCAACCAUUGAUGUAUUAGAUGCUGUGAAAGUGAUAGAUGUCGAGCUAACAACGCCCCUAGUACCUAAGCUCAAGAAAAGGCGAACAAGAUUCUGGGAGAAGUAAGCAAAGUUAUUAUCAGGAAUAUUCAAAGCUAAUACGAAAUAUACUUUUGAAAAUAAUAAAUGCCACUAGUCCACUACUGAUUUGUGCGAAUAUAGAUCCUGCAAAUGAGGCAUUAUGUUUUCUAGUUUUGUCAAAUGCUGAUAUGUGUUAUGUGUUCUUUGGAUCAGGUACAACUGCUCAGAAAUUUUUGUUGGAACCUGCAUAAUUAUCAGUGGUUGCUAUGAUAUGCUUUAUGCAAAGAAGGGAUACUACAUCUACCUUUUCAUUCAAGGGAUAGCAUUCCUCGUUGUUGGUUUUGAGUAUAUCGGCACGCGCCCUCCUCGCACUGAAUAAGCUGCCACGAGCUGAUAUGCAUGGUCAUGAUAAACUGCAGCAAGUAAAGCCCCUCUCCUGCACAUAUCAACCUCAGAACAUAAUGAUAUACUGAGCAUUCUUCCCAUCAGUCUUGGUCAGAUUUGAUCCAACUAUUCUUUACUUCCGAGAAGGCUAUUCAUGUAGCAUCGCCGUUUUUCUGAUAGUAACAUUAUUUACUGAAGCACCAUGACAGAAAGAUUGGUGCAGCAGCAUUCCAUUCAGAUCCUGUAGAAAUGCAUCCCAGGCCUGCAAGAAUAACAGCAGCUGUAAAUGAAAUAACAUGCUUUGCCAAUUACUGUAGAUUCUCCAAAAUUAGCCUACCCUUCCAUGCAAAUGUACUGAUAUAGAUUGUUCAGACAUGUAAUAGAGGACCAUUAGCACCUCCAGUCUAUAUCCUGUGUACUAGGCCAAAACUUGUAAAUGUACAUUUUUGCUGAACACCAAUAAUUCUGUCAAAUUCACAGAUUUCGAAGUGCACUAUGAAAUAUAGCAUGAAGCCCUACAAUAAAAGAAAUAUUUGUGGCUUUACAUUUUUACUUGAUGUGGCACAUGAACUAGUGGAUCUAUAGCACAAAUUGAGAACAAUAAUGAUUUCCCUUUGUAUUACCUGUGGGUAGAACAUCGUAGGGUAGAACUGAUACCAACCUUUCACGUCAUGCUUCCAACAUCGAAACAGUAUUGCAGAUUGUCAUGAAAAAUCUGAAACAAAUUGACAACAGUGAUACACUACAAAUUUAGCACGUGGGGAAAUAAAAAUCUAAUUUGAUCCCAGUCAAAAUAAAUCCGAAAUUAAAAGAGAAAGUGGAGCCACUAAUUCAUUAUGUCAAUCUUUUGGAUGUUGUACGUGUUGUUUGGUACCUUAUCUAGCGAAACUAUUUUGGAUUUUUAUUUUCAGCUACACUAGCUGUGAAAUAUAAUAAUAGGAGAAAGUGAAGAUUUUUUUUCUUUGUGACACUCCAAAUUUGAAAAUAUAGCCCAGUGAUACUAUUUUUUUUUCCUUCUUGUCAAUAUAUUUUGAAGGCUGUUUCAGGGGUUUUACGGGUCGAAAAAAGGCCCUAGGUUUAUAUAUAGCACACGUAAGUUUCCUAAAAAUAAGGCCCACGUGACUACGUGAGGAUCAAAAUGUAGUUUUAGCAGAAGUUCUCCACAGGGAUUAAUGCAAUGAUUCUUUUCCAAAUCUCAAGCUAAACUCACAGAUUAACAGGCUUUGGACUGAAAAGUAACAAAUCUAACUUGCUGAUCUAAUGUUUUUGGGGUUUUUGGUUAACUGUAGCAAAUCUGACAACAAGGUACCGACUAACUGAAGAAACAGACACAAACAAGAAGAUUUAACUGAAGAAAAUCAAUACUAGCAGAGCAGAUCUUUCUGCGACGAAUUUAGAGUUUAGACAGCAAGGGUUUUAGAGAAAGAAGAUGAAAUAGAGAGAUCUAGAGAAAACAAGCAGCAAAACUAAUAGACAAGGAGAGAGUUUCAGAUCAAAGAGUAAAACAUCACAGGCAGAUCAUGACUCUACUGCACAACAAACUGACAGAAAUUUAAAGAACUAGAGCACAAACUUAAAAGGAAAACAGAGCACAGCACAACUUCAGCAAUAUUAAAGAUUUCUCACGACUAGAUUUGGUUAUAGACAAGCUUAAUUAUACGAAUUCAACAACAGAUUACAGAUCUUCAGCAAGAACAGAUGGGCACUAGAGAGUGUGAAGAAUAGGGGCAGGGAUUACAGAAUUUCUUUCAGCAGAAGAGAAUUGGAGAAAAGGAAGAUGAUGAUCUAGCUUAACAACUCUCAGUUUCUGGUGAAGAAGCAUCCAAAUCACCCAAGAACAGCCCUGGAUCUCGCCAGUUUCCUCUCUUCUUCCUCUCUCUUCUCCAUGUUUCUGGAUCCACCCCCUUUUCUUGUGUCCCCCGAAAAGAAAGAGGUUCGCCACCUUUUACGCUCUUCUUCUUGCUCUCUCCCGGAGGCUGUCACCAUCACCCUUUGAAUUAUGCAACCAGCCCCCUCCUUUUGCUAGCUUGACACCGAAGAAGAUCCCGGCUUAUGUCUCCUUUUUGCUUGAUCACUCCUCUUCCUUUUUCCUUUAUUUGCUUUUUGCUUUUCUUCUCCCUGCUUCUUUGCCCUUGCAUCUUGAUGUAGUAGGAAGUAGAUUUUUGGUGCCUUUUCGCACCCUUUUCUGCAAAAAGCAUGCAGUGCUGUAAAAAGACAGAUUUGGCCCUUUUCGGCUAAAUUCAUUCAAAUUUAAAUUCAAAUGAUUCAAAUUCAAGUAUGAUCAGCACCAAAUAUGUUUGAAAUUGAUUUAAAAAUAUGUACUGAUCACACCCCCAUACCUGAAUUUUUGCUUGUCCUCAAGUAAACGGAGUUGGCUCUCGAACACAAUUUAAUUAGUAAUGCAAAGCAGUAAACAGAUAAGAGUAAUUGACAAAUGCAGUUCUCUGUCAGAGUGUUCAUACAAAUUAUGUACCGGACGUUUCAAUGAUUUCUAGGCAUCAACAGUGACGUAGGGUGAAUGAGUAGAAACAAAUGAUAUCUAAAUCUUAGUACUGAGCUGAGCUACUAAAGUUCAAACAGUAAUGAAAACUUCAGGAAAGUGCGGCAUAGCCACUUAUUUGCAGAAACUGUGACUUUUGUCACUUAUUGAAAGCUGAAAACUGUGGCAAAGCCACUUAUUGAAUUUGUAAAAAAAUAAAUAGAACAGAACUGUGGCACAGCCACUUAUUGCAAGAAAUGUGACUUUUGUCACUUAUUCGAGGAAGAAUAAACACAUGUGGACCUUGCCACUUAUUGAAUUUCAGAGAAACCAGAAAGUAAACUGAAGUAACAAUGCUCAAUGACACAUGUUUCAGAAAUCACAAUCCCAAGAUCAUGACUCCUACUUAGUGACACUAAACAACUAGCUCAGGAAAGUACUAAAAAUUUAGAACACAAAGUUUCCGAAUCGUUUCACAAAAGGUCAGAAAUGAUGCACCAAGAAUCAUUGAAAUUUAAGAUAAACAGUUUAAAUGAUCAUUCUGGACAGAGAACUAACUUUUGCAACUCUUAUUAAAUGUUUUUUGACAAAGCAUGACCAUGAACAGUGCCGAGACAAAAGUUUUAAAGUAUAGAUUCAUGUUAUCUUUUCAAAAUUAUCAAGAUGGGUAAAUUUGAAUCAUGAGCACAUAAUAUUUAUACCAAAAGUAUCAAAACAAAUGGAGACUGAAACAGCUCACCAAAUUUCUGAACAUUAAUUCCUUGACUUGAUAGAAUUGGUUGCAAAAAUUGCCUGCUCUCACUUCUUACUUUACCCUUUCUGUUCUACCUUAAUAUACAUCUUUCCUGAUUCUCCUGCUACUGAUUCAUGCAUAAACCCUACGAAAAGAAAAGAUAAACAAAAAUAAAACAAACCUCAUAGAGGCAAAGGAAGGUUACUGAAUUUUAUUUCCAGGUUGCCUCCUGGUAGCGGUCUUUUAUGGUCAUUAGCUUGACCCCUGGUUUGAAAUGACUCUAAGAUGCUUGACCACUGUCAAGGCUUGCCUGCCUCAACUCUGCUUCUUCUGGUCUUGCAUCAAAAUCAAGAAUAGGAUCUCCAUUGAAAUAAUGCUUCACUCUUUGGCCAUUAACCGAGAAUAUUCCUUCUGAAGGACUCUGUACUUCCAAAGCACCAUUUCCAAACACCUUCUUUACAACACAUGGACCAUACCAUCUUGAUUUAAAUUUCCCAAGAAACAGGUGGAAUCUUGAAUCAUAGACAAGCACCAGCUGUCCAGGACUGAACUCUCUUCUUUGAAUAUGCCUGUUAUGCCACUGCUUGGUCUUUUCCUUAUAGAUUCUUGCACUCUCAUAGGCAUCUAAUCUCAGCUCAUCAAGCUCACAUAACUGAAGUUUCCUGAGUUCACCAGCAGCUUCCAUAUCCAUGUUUAAUUUCCUGAUAGCCCAAUGUGCUUUGUGUUCAAGUUCAACAGGCAAAUGGCAGGCUUUUCCAUAGAUAAGCCUAAACGGGGACAUGCUUAUUGGAGUUUUGUAAGCAGUCCGAUAAGCCCACAAAGCAUCAUUUAACUUUAAAGACCAAUCUCCUCUGGAUUUAGAAACAACCUUCUCCAAAAUUUGCUUGAUUUCUCUAUUGGACAGCUCCACUUGCCCAUUUGCUUGAGGAUGGUAUGGAGUAGUUACCUUGUGAUUAAACACUCCAUAUUUUUCAAGCAAUUUGUCCAGCUGCUGGUUAUUGAAGUGGGUACCUCCAUCACUGAUCACUACUCUUGGUACACCAAAUCUGGGAAAAAUUACAUUUCUGAACAGCUUGCAAACCGACUUUGAAUCAGCAUGGACAAUUAGGACAGCUUCAACCCAUUUGGACACAUAAUCCACUGCAACAAGUAUAUGCUUGAAUCCUUUAGAAGAGGGCAAUGGACCAAUGUAAUCCACACCCCAAACAUCAAAUAACUCAACUUCAAGAAUGCUUUGCUGUGGCAUUUCAUUUCUUCUAGACACCUUUCCAGUUCUCUGACAAAGAUCACAUUUCUAAAUAAAAGAGUGCACAUCUUUGAAGAUAGAUGGCCAAUAAAACCCAGCUUGCAAGAUUUUUGCUGAAGUUUUGGAUACACCAGUUGGAGAGACAUGACAAUGAUAUAUCACACUCUGGACUUCUUCCUGUGGAAUACACCUUCUGAUUAUUCCAUCCCCACACUCCUUGUACAGAUUAGACUCAUCCCAAUAAUAUUCUUUAACAUCAUGCAGAAAUUUCUUCUUAAGAUGAAAAGCAAGAUUAGGAGGCAAAUGAUUGCAAACCAAAUAAUUCACAAUAUCAGCAUACCAAGGAACAUUGUGACUGAUCUUCAUUAACUGAUCUCCUGGCAAGCUGUCAUUAAUUUCAGAUUUAUCCUGGCUUUCAUGAACAAUUCUGGACAAGUGGUCAGCCACCAGAUUUUCAGUCCCUUUCUUAUCCUUUAUCUCCACAUUAAACUCUUGCAAUAAAAGAUUCCAUCUUAUCAGCCUUAGUUUUGCAUCUUUCUUAUUCAACAGCUAUUUAAUAGCUGCAUGAUCUGUAUAAACAACAGUUUUUGAACCAACUAGGUAAGGCCUGAAUUUAUCAAAUGCAUAGACUACUGCUAGCAAUUCUUUCUCUGUAGUUGUGUAAUUGACUUGAGCAUCAUCAAGAGUUUUACUGGCAUAAUAGAUGACAUUAAGCUGCUUUUCUUUUCUCUAUCCAAGAACAACACCCACUGCAUAAUCACUUGCAUCACACAUUAUUUCAAAUGGGUAUUUCCAAUCAAGUGGCUGCACAAUAGGAGCUGAAACCAAAGCAUCCUUCAGUUUAACAAAAGCUUCAUCACAGGCUUCAUCAAACACAAAGGGAACAUCAUUGUUUAGCAAAUUAGUCAAGGGCUUUGCAAUUUUUGAAAAAUCUUUAAUGAACCACCUGUAAACCCUGCAUGUCCAAGAAAGCUUCUGAUCCCUUUGACAUUAAUUGGUGGUGGAAGCUUUGCAAUAACUUUAACCUUAGCUUUAUCAACUUCAAUUCCUCUAGCAGAUACCAAAUGUCCAAGAACAAUCCCUUCUCUGACCAGAAAAUGACAUUUUUCCCAAUUAAGCACAAGGUUAUUAUCUGCACAUCUCUGCAUUACAGUACUUAAGUUCUUCAGACAAUCCUCCAAACUGUCCCCAAACACAGUGAAAUCAUCCAUAAACACCUCCAUGAUCUUGUCUACAAAAUCUGAAAAUAUUGACAAAACACAUCUCUGAAAGGUUCCGGGAGCAUUGCAUAGCCCAAAUGUCAAUCUUCUAUAAGCAAAAGUUCCAUAGGGGCAGGUGAAUGUGGUUUUAUCUUGAUCUUCAGGAUGAAUUGGAAUUUGCAAGAAUCCAGAGUAUCCAUCCAAAUAACAAUAGAAUUCUUUUCGUGCCAUUCUCUCAAGCAUCUGAUCAAUGGCAAAGGAAAGUGAUCUUUCCUAGUGGCAUCAUUUAGCUUCCUGUAAUCUGUACACAUUCUAUACCCAGUGAUAGUUCUUGAAGGUAUAAGCUGACCUUUAUCAUUUUCUACCACUGUCAUACCACCUUUAUUGGGAACAAUGUGUAUAGGACUGACCCACUCACUGUCUGAAAUUGGAUAGAUUAUAUCGGCGGACAACAAUUUCAGAACUUCUUUCUUUACUACUUCCUGUAGGUGAGGAUUCAAUCUCCUUUGAUGUUCUCUAGUGGGUUUCUUCCCUUCUUCCAAAAAUAUUCUGUGCAUGCAAACAGAUGGAUUUAUUCCUUUCAUAUCAUCAAUAGAAUAUCCAAUCACUGCCCUGUGCUUUUCCAGAACAGCAACUAAUUUAUUAACCUGUUCUGGUUUUAAUGCUAAACUCACAAUCACUGGAAACUGAUCAUUAUCUUCAAGAAAUUCAUACUUCAAAUGAGCUGGCAAUUGUUUCAUAUCAACUGGCUUAUAAGGGACUAAGCUGGCAUCAACUGAAGUAAUACCAUCUUCAACAAUCUCAGCUGCAGCUACUGUCUCAGCUUUCUGAACUUUCAGAAACUUAUCAUUAAAUCUGGAAUGAUUUGUAUUAGCAUUGUUCUGCAAUUUGUACACCUCUGCAACACAUUCAUCUAUAGCAUCAACAGAAAGACAUUCUUCUGUGCAAUGAGGUAAAUGGGAAGGUUGGUUCAUAUCAAAGAUUAUUUCUUCUUUUCCAAAUUUCAGGGUUAACUUUGCACCUUCAACAUCAAUUAGUGCCCCUGCUGUAGUUAGAAAUGGCCUUCCAAGAAUCACAGCCUCACUUCUGUCUUCCAUUCCCAACACAACAAAAUCUACAUGAUAAGCAAAUUUGUUGACAAUGACUGGGAUAUCAAGUAAAAUCCCAGUCGGUUUCCUGAGUGUUCUGUCAGCUAGCUGAAGUGUGAGAGAAGUGGAUUCCAAUUCUCCUAAUUUCAUGCUCUGUUAGACUGACAGAGGUAAAGCACUUACUGAAGAUCCCAAAUCACAUAAGGCACUGAACUUUCUGUUACCCACAGCACAAGGAAUUAUAAAACUCCCUGGAUCUUCUAAUUUCUGAGGCAUCUGAUUUAGAAUUACUGCACUGCACUCUUUUGUCAUAGUUACUAGUUCUGGUUCAUCUAAACUUCUUUUCUUAGCCAACAACUCCUUCAAGAAUUUAGCAUACAUAGGCACAUGUAGCACUGCCUCAAGAAUAGGAAUAGAAACAUGAACUUCUUUCAUCAUUUCAAGGAACUUAGCAAACUGUUUCUCUUCUUUUGACUUUUCAUUUCUUUCUGGAAAAGGGAGCUUUACUGAUGAACUCUGAACAUUUUCUGAUUCAGCAUUACCACAGGCCUCAUCUUCGUUCUGUACUUCUUUCCUUUUAACAUUUUCUGUAACAAUUGAUGUCCUAAACUGAGGUGGAACAUAAGGUUUCAUAGGAGCAGGUGUUGGGAGGAUUGGCUCAACAAUUUUGCCUGAUCUAGUAGUGAUUGCACCACAUAAAUUCUUUGGAUUACUUUCAGCUUGAGAUGGCAGUCUUGCUUCUGACUUCCCUGUAGGAUUCCCAACAGACAAAUUAUCCAUUUUACUAGCUACCUUCUGAACUGUAUUGUUCAAGCUACUUAACAUAUCUAACUGAGUUUUGUUCACAUUAGCCAUCAUCUCCAUUUGCUUCUCCAUUAACCUCUCCAAGGCUGUCAUUUCUUCCUGCUUCUAAGGGUGUGGAGCUGGAUGAGACACACUUGAUGAAAAUGAUGAUUGAGGUGGAGCAUUUGAUUUAUAAGAAAGGUUGGGGUGCCGCCUCCACUGUGGGUUAUAGCUUUGAGAGUAAGGACCUUGAGACUGAGCAUAGUUAACUUCAGAUACAGACUGAGCUGAAGAUUUUGCAGUUGCAUAUCCAACACACUCCCCAUCAUGCCCAGGAACACCACAGAUACUGCAAACCUGAGCUGGCUGAGGAACUACUGAAGAUGCAACUGAUCCCACUGAUUUUAUAGAAGAAAUUAUGCUUGCCUGCAUCUGAGACAUAUUUUUGUUCAUGAUCUCAAGUUGAGCUGCAAGAGCAUCUGUUGGAGAGAUUUGAUGCAUCCCUGGCUUCUGAGGAGUGACUGAUCUUUCACUUGACCACUGAACAUCAUGUGAUGCCAUACUUUCAAUCAAUGUGAAAGCUUCAUUCAAAGUCUUGUUCAUGAUUCCUCCUCCACCAGCUGAUGAAUCAACAUAUGAUCUAAUACUUGGAGUUAAUCCUUUAUAGAAUGUUUGUAGUACUAACCAUCUCUCUAAUCCAUGAUUUGGACACAUUCUGAGCAGAGUUUGAUAUCUAUUCCAAGCAUCAUGCAAACUCUCAUCACUGAACUGCACAAAGUUGUUUAUCUUAUCCCUGUAUUCAGCUGCUUUCAUUGGUGGAUAGUACUUCUCAAAGAAAGCCUACAUGAGAUUAGCCCAGCUGUUCUUCUGGCUUGCUGGUAAAGCAUUUAACCAUAUCUUUGCUCCAUCUCUUAGUGAAAAUGGAAACAAAUGAAGCUUAAUGACAUCAGCUGGAACCCAUUCAUCUUCACUGUAUUGCAAUAUUCCAAAAACUAGUUAAUGUGCUCAUGAGGAUCAUUAAGAGCUGAGCCACUGAACUGAGAAUGUUGCACCAUACUAAUCAAUGCUGGUUUGAGCUCAAAGUUGUUUGCCUCGAUGACUGGUUGACUGACAUUAACAACCACAUUCUGAUGAUUUGGUAUCCACAAAUCUCUAACUAAAGUGGUAUCCCCCAUCUCUGAACUUUCUGUAUCUGAAUCACUGACAAAAGAGUAGCUAUCUGAAGAUUCAGGUUCAGGUUCAGCUGAUCUUCUUCUAGGAAUCUGCCUCAAUUCUUCUCUGAUUUGAUUGAGUGUUUUUCUACGGUCUGGACUAUCUAACAACUGUCUUCUCUGUCUUCUUCUGAGCAUUCAACAAUUUCCUGCAUUUAAAUGAUUAAUCUCCUGCCGAAAAGCACAACUAAGGAACUGAUUAUGGGUAAGUAUCCUAAUAAGCCGAAGCAACAACAAAAUAACAAAAGAAAUCAACAAGGUUUAGUCUAGAGAUUUUAGUUAGCAACCAUUGAUUAAUCCCCGGCAACGGCGCCAACUGAUCAAACUGUAGUUUUAGCAGUAAUAAAAAUGAAGUUCUCCACAGGGAUUAAUGCAAUGAUUCCUUUCCAAAUCUCAAGAUUAACAGGCUUUGGACUGAAAAGUAACAAAUCAAACUUGCUAAUCUAAUGUUUUUGGGAUUUUCGAUUAACUGUAGCAAAUCUGACAACAAGGUACAGACUAACUGAAGAAACAGACACAAACAAGAAGAUUUAACUGAAGAAAAUCAACACUACCAGAGCAGAUCUUUCUGCGACGAAUUUAGAGUUUAGACAUCAAGGGUUUUAGAGAAAGAAGAUGAAAUAGAGAAGAUCUAGAGAAGACAAGCAGCAAAACUAAUAGACAAGGAGAGAGUUUCAGAUCAAAGAGUAAAACAUCACAGGCAGAUCAUGACUCUACUGCACAACAAACUGACAGAAAUUUAAAGAACUAGAGCACAAACUUAAAAGGAAAACAGAGCACAGCACAACUUCAGCAAUAUUAAAGAUUUCUCACGACUAGAUUUGGUUAUAGACAAGCUUAAUUAUACGAAUUCAACAACAGAUUAUAGAUCUUCAGCAAGAACAGAUGGGCACUAGAGAGUGUGAAGAAUAGGGGCAGAGAUUACAGAAUUUCUUUCAGCAGAAGAGAAUUGGAGAAAAGGAAGAUGAUGAUCUAGCUUAACAACUCUCAGUUUCUGGUGAAGAAGCAUCCAAAUCACCCAAGAACAGCCCUGGAUCUCGCCAGUUUCCUCUCUUCUUCCUCUCUCUUCUCCAUGUUUCUGGAUCCACCCCCUUUUCUUGUGUCCCCCGAAAAGAAAGAGGUUCGCAACCUUUUACGCUCUUCUUCUUGCUCUCUCUCGGAGGCUGUCACCAUCACCUUUUGAAUUAUGCAACCAGCCCCCUCCUUUUGCUAGCUUGACACCGAAGAAGAUCCCUGCUUAUGCCUCCUUUUUGCUUGAUCACUCCUCUUCCUUUUUCCUUUAUUUGCUUUUUGCUUUUCUUCUCCCUGCUUCUUUGCCCUUGCAUCUUGAUGUAGUAGGAAGUAGAUUUUUGGCGCCUUUUCGCACCCUUUUCUGCAAAAAGCAUGCAGUGUUGUAAAAAGACAGAUUUGGCCCUUUUCGGCUAAAUUCAUUCAAAUUUAAAUUCAAAUGAUUCAAAUUCAAGUAUGAUCAGCACCAAAUAUGUUUGAAAUUGUUUUAAAAAUAUGUACUGAUCAGUGAGAGACCAACGGCUGGGUGCUUCCUCGAGGGUAAUUCUUCGUGCUUCCCCAUCCACAGUUGGCGGCGGAGGAUUUUAGGCGCAGCAUCUGUAAACUUGUUUUUGAUCACGCAGCGAGCAGAUUGCAGAUACACACAAUUCGUUCUGGUGCCGACUAGUUUGAAGUCGGUGGACGGCUCGGCGAUUCGAUCUGGCUUGUCUAGGAGGAUGAAAAUUUCUAUGUAUCCGCGUCAUCAAAGGUAUAAAGCAAAUCCUGUACCCCCUCGUCCAACAAAAGAUGUCUCAAGUUUGUCAAAAUUUGGAUGUAUCUAGACAUGACAUAGUGAAUAGAUGCAUUCAAAUUUAGUCAAAAUUAAGACAUUCUUUGUUGGACGGAGGGAGUAUGAUUUUAGAGUUGUUUUGAUGAAGAAAGGAAAUUAUGCAAUAUGCGGUGCCUUGCUAAAGGAAAGCAGAAAACCCCACGGUCUAGACAGCGCGCCUUUCAUUGGAGCUCCUGAGCUCGCCAGUUAUAGAUGUUGAUAUCAUUCUCUUCUUUUUCUGAAGGAAUAUACGUGGAAUAGUAUUUUGCAUCCCCCAUCUCUUCCCCGUUAGAUCACAUUAUUACUUAAUUAUAAUGUACCAGGCAAUCAUACUAGAUAUUUUUGUCAGUGGAUUUCCUUUGUAGCAGGACAGAUCGCAUGAUUUCCUCUCGCCAAUCAAAACAAUUCUGAAUAACAUUGUCCGUUGUACACCUUGUAGGUCCAUCCAUUUAAUUAUCGUCUUCGUAUUCUUCGAGCAUGCCAUGUCCUUGCACCGUUGUAAAGCUGCCUUUGUUGGCCUCUUCCAAAUAGGAAUAGUCAAUGAGUUUGUUGCCACAGAAAAAACUAUAGGAGAAAAUGCUCGAGACAAAAAAAAUAUUGUCGCCGUUCCAAACAAGUUUCAGUUCACAGCUUGGAACAAGUGACUAAUCCUGCAUAGGAUCUGUAUAGGAUCUGUGCUACUGUAUAUAGCAACCGGCCGUUGUUCUGAAGACCAUUAGUGCCCGUCUGACACUUACAACUGCCGACAGACUCAAUGAAUUGAUACUGAUGCCUAGUGUAUCUCCAUUCCUGAAUUUGUGCCACACGGAAUAAUAAUACUCCAUAAUAGAAACAUUUUGCAGACCUUCGUGCACAGGAAAAGGACAUCAACAGCGAAUAUCAACAACCGACUAAAAAAAUGUUGACACUGAACCACCAUAUCUUGAUAAGGGUGUUCGUCAAAAUUGUUGCGGAGUAGGACAGUGAGUGGGAUCACAGUCAUCUGAAGAUACCUGAAACCAAAAGUCUGAAGAUUCUUUCAGAUAGGGGUGGAGAAUUUUGGAGGCAGUGACAUAGCAUGGUGUUACUGACAGACUUUUCUCUUCCCAUUUUGACAUGAUCUUGCUAUGGGAUCCUGUUUGGUUUCCAACCCACAACUAAUCUAAUGCUAGCUCAAUUAUAAUUAACAGAGUUUGGUUUGGCGAGUUGAGGCAACAGUUCAACAGCCCCUUUAGUACAAGAGAGAUUAUUGUUUCAUUUACUUUUUCCUUGGUCCGUCCCAUUCUGGGUGGUAGGUUUUUGCUUACAUAGUAACUAUCAUCUCUAGCAUCUAGCCAGGGGAAUCCAGUCUAGGCUUAUUCUCUCAAUAAGUCAAUAUGAUUCUUCACGAAUAAUAUCGAUUCUCUGGGAAUAAUAUGAUUCUUUCAUAUUCUUGAUUCCUUUUUGCCAUGGGUGGCAAUGUGACAUGCCAAUACGAACAGUAUACAGUAAAUACUAGUAGUUCCGGGAAUCGAGUUAGGUCAUAUGGGCAGAUUAUCGAAUUGGAGUAACUUGUGAUCUGUCGGGCUACUUGUUCUCAUUUCUCAAGUCACCAACUUCAUCUAGAGUUGGUGAAGGAGCAGCAAUAUGCAUGCCGACGAAACAGAAAUAUUGUUCACCAACAUAAGGUCUGUGCUGCAGUAAAGAAGUCAGGGAAUUAGGUCCAACCCCAGUUGCCCUUCAAGCUGUAUCUUAAUACUUUUGUGGUUUCCUUCCGUAUGAGCAUCCCCGUUUCACCCUCAAGGCACAUUGUCACUGACUGCAUACAUUUCCCAACAGUUCUACACACUCUUGCACCUCAACCUCAAGCAUGCAUAUGCAUAAUGUAUCUGCAGCUGGGCCUGCCCUGCCUACAAUUGCAGUUACAGAUUGAGCACAAGAACCAGAUGAAUGCAUAUAUACAUAUAAAAUAAUAAAUAUAGAAAUUUAUAUAUAUCUCACAGGAUCAAGAGCAGCAGCAGUUACAGUAGUACUAGUAGGUGUUGCAGCAGAGGACAUGCAUAGCAAUGCUCAGAAAAAGCCUGGUCCCAUGAGGCCAUGACAUGUCCCAAACUCGAAGGCUACCCUGAUCCCACACCGAUCACCCACUGUCGCAAUUGCUCAGGGCUCAGCAUGCACACUGCAGAGAAGAUGAUGCUACCUAGCCUUCCCCCCUUCCAUUUUUCCUUUUUUCCCUACAUGUUCAGAUCAAACUCUGAAGAGCUGCCGUCCUCUGCUUCUUCUUCUUCUUCUGGCUCUGCUUCUGCUGCUGCCUGUUGCUCUGCGUCCUGCAUCUGCUGCAGGAAGGGGAACGUCCUCUUGCCCUGCGCCGGCUGCUCCACGGUGCAGCAGUCCCCCUGGUGGCGGCCAGCGUGGAGCCGCCUCCUGGACCCGGCGGAUUUGCUCUCGGCUUCCGACGACGACGACGAGACGCAGCUGCUGUAGGCGGAGCGGUGCUGCUGCCGGGGCUGGGAGGAAGAGGAAGAGAGGCACUCGGUGUCCACGGCGGAGACGAGCUCCGAGAGCUCCGCCUUGGCGAGGCUGUUGUCCGUGAGGACCUGUUGAGCCCUGCGCAGCACGGACUGCAGGUACCUCCCCUGCGCCUCCAUCCUCAGCUGCAGAGUCCUCUGGACCUGCCAUGCCAUGGAUCGAGCAUGAUCAGCUCAGUAAACAGGAAUUAACUGACAAUCUGAAUUCUGAACGAGAACCCUGAGUGAGUGGAUGUUCUUUUUUUUGGGUUACCUCGAUCUGCUCGUGCAGCUUCCUCUGCACCUCCCUCUGCAUCUGCGCCAUGCUCCUGGAAGAAUCACGGAGCUCGGCGGUGGUGUCAUCGUCGUCGUUGUACUCGUUUGACUGGCUCUCGGACGAGGACGAUCGGUCGACAUUCAGGCUUCCUCCGCCAGCGUUGCCAGCGAGGUCUCGGCUCACCGCCAGCCGAUACUUCUGCAGAAUUAGAAGUGGAAUUGAGCUCACGAUUAACAGAGGACAGGGGAUCAUAGGAUCCUUGUGUUGCGCAGCAGCAGUAUACUGCACCUGGAGGUGGCUCUUGAGAUGGUAGAGGGUGAGCCCCUGCACGCCCAUGGCCCUCAGAACCGACUUGGGCGUCGCUCCUGCAAUGCCAAUCAAUCAAGCAGCGAUCAUCAUCAGAUAUAUACACCUUCGUCGCAAGCUCCGGCUGAGUUCUUGACGAUUUGAUGGACUCACGGUCUGCGCCGCCGAGCUCGGAGACGGCGAGGACGAAGCGCUCGUGCAGCGGGCGCGUCCAGCGGAGCCGCGCCCUGGCAGUGGCAGCCUCUCCGCCAUGCUGUUGGGCCGACGGCGACGACAUUUCCAGCGAGCCCACCAGGGUGCGCGGUACUGCUGCACGAUCGAUCGCAGCGGCGCGUCCAGCAUAUAUGACAGAGACGCGGCGAACCCGCCCCGCCGGAGAUCGAGGACUUUUGCCGAUCGGUAUAUCCAAGCAAACACCUCUAGCUUUGCAAGCUACUAAUGCUACCUUAGCUCUUUGGUGGUGGCCAACAGCAGCUGCAGAGAAGCCACUAAGACACGCGCAUGCACACACACUUGGGGACUUGGGGCGAUGAGCCGUGGCGCCUCUUAUAGGAGGAGCAUCUCUGCCUUGGCUCAGUUGGUUCCUUUCCUUGGACUCCACUACUCAGAUAUAUUCCCCCUCUCCGAUUCCCCCUCUUGUGAUAUGUGUGUAUGCGGAUACAGCUGAGCUGAUGAGGGCCGGCCGGCCGCGGAGAAUGUGCGAGGGAAUAUAGCGCAUGAGGCAGCUGGGGCCGGCCAUCCUUUUGCUCACCUCCAUGUCACUCACUAGCGCAGCUCAGCUCCAUUCCAUCCACACCCUCCCUCUCUCUCUCCGCUUAGUCGGUUGCUCCUUUAGCUUUCACUUCUUUGACCUGAAAGGGUGGGAAUCUUUGCGCAGUAGGCAGGCAGGGGAAAGCAAAACAGUUCAGCUACAAGGCGAUCUCUCAUCAAAAGGGAGAGGGAGAGAAAGAAAAGAAAGAUGAAGGAGAGAGAGAAUCAAGAGGCCGGCCGGUGUUUGUGCGUUAAUUGUUCUCUUGCUGUUUUCUCACACUUGUUCACCGUGUCCUCUUUGUUGGAUUCCCCUUGCCCCACCACCCCCACCCGGCUUGAACAACAACGAGGCCAAUCUCUUCACUAAGCUUGGCUACCUUUUCCCAACGCCCAAAAAAUUUGCUUCCAAGUGAAGAUAAAUGUACUGACUGACCUCUCCCGAUCUUUUACUGCUGCCUGCCUGCUGUGAAAUCACUGGAAUGGACAAGAAAGCAGUAAAAUCACUUCCUUUCAAGUGAAGGUAUAUAGUGAUCUCACUAGCUGCUGCCUGCCGUGGAAAUGACUGAAAUGGAAAGAAAGCCGUAAAAACAAUGUGGUGGGACUCUGGUAGUGCCACUAAUUCAGAGGGCCGAUCGGGUGAAGAAGAAAAAAUGUGUAUAAAGGCAAAGGGAGGGAAUAAAACUUUUUUGCAUGCGUUUUUUCAGAGGCCGGACGCACUGCCGCAAUAGUAGCCUCCCUAUGCAAUUGGCGAACUGCCUUUGGCUUUUCUGAUGAUGGGGGAAUCAAGGAAUCUAAUCCAGAUCUCAAAGACCACGGAAGUAAUCGACACUUAGCUAUCGGGAUGAAUGGAUGGAUCAAAAGGAAGCUUCUGUUGUUGAGCUGAAAGCAGCAGCUAUACAUACGUCCAUAUACACGCACGCGCACGUAUGUACUACCGUAUACUACCUACAGUACAUACGUAUGUACACGCACGUGCUUAUAGUACUCAGGAUGGGCACUGUGGGUGCAUGUAUUAUAAAUAUAAUACUCCAUGAAACAAAAUUCAGGUGGGAUCAUAUUCAGUUUUUCAGUCCAACCUAGGGCUCCAGAAUCUAUUCAAUAUUCUAUGGUACUAAGCACUAAUCAGUGAACCUUUGUCAUGAAACUUCCUAACUGCCAAUGAUAAGUUGGUCCGACUGAAAGACUAAUCAUCAGCAUCGGCAGCAGCAGCUUUUACUCUUGUGGUAUCUGUACUUCCGUAGACUGUAGCGAGAGCUCUUAAUCAAACUCGACUUUGUCUUGCAGUUUUGAAAGCAGUGCCCUUAUCAUGGGCAAAGAAAGUAUACAUACUCUUUUCCUUAAACUAAACUAAACUAAAAAUACUGGAGUACUACCAUAUAGUAUUAAGUACCACCUGCAGGGUCAAACAUCAAAAUCAGGGAGGGGAAUAUGCCUGAGAAAAACAUGAAAAGGCCAGACUAGCUUGGCAGCAGGGGCAUAUUUUCACGCUGUACUUGAGCAUUGGCGGCAAGCCUGCCUGCUGCCCUGGCUUUGCGAGGAUUUCAGCGCUUUUGCAUACACAGCAGAUGCGAGUCAGCACUCAGCAGCAGCGCCAGAAGCAACAAUGUGGCCUUUCGGUUCUCACGGUGCACGCAGACGCAUGCCAUUUUGCUGCCCCCCUGUGCUGUUCCCAUGGCAAGUGGUCGCUGCAGACAUACAUGUAUAUAUACCUGGAGCCGUACUUGGUCUGCAGGCCAAAACAUACCAGGAAAGGAACGGCGACAUGCACAGAGACAUGGAUAUAAUAUAUACAGCUUUGAGCUAGUCAGAGACGAAUUUUGCUGGAAUUUCAGAGGAAACGGUUCGAUUUCCGCGGGGGGUGGGAAAUCGGGAAAUUUUCUGAGGGAUCUGAAGGGUCGUUGCAUGAAAAACAAAUUUUUUUCUACGAAAUGUGCGGAAAAAACUCAAGAUCAUAUCUAAAUAGAUGUAAGUAACGAGAGGGAUAAUGAGCAUCAUACCCUCGUAGACCACAAAGCGUUACGAUCACGGGAUCGUUGUUGGCGUAGUGAAACUUUCGAUGAGAUCAAUCUCAAUGCAGAAAUUAACGACGGCACCUCCUUAGUAUCCACACGUUCAGCUUCACGUCGUCUCUUUCUUCUUGAUCCAGCAAGCGAGGGGAAGAGGUCGAUGAGAUUACAGCAGCACGACGGCGUGGUUUAGGCUAUGGUGAAGUUCUCCACGGGCAAGGCUUCACCGUGCGCGUGAGAGGAGGAGGUCAGGGAGAGGAGCAGCGUCCGGCCAAGGGGCAGCCCCUCCCCUCCUUAUAUAAGGGAGGAGGCCGACGGCAAGGCAAGUAAAGGAGACAAUCUCACCUUUCCUUUCUUGCCUCUCAAGAAAUAGGAAUUUGAUCACAUAGGGAUAAAUUCCCUAAUACAGUUUUUCUCUUUCCUUUCCUAGAGGUGGCCGGCCAAGGAAUCCCGGAAGGAUUCCCAAUCCUUCUGUUUGGUCUAUACACAUUAGGGGAUAAUUAAUUAGAUUUCUCUAAUUAAUUACUACAGAGGCCCAAUUAAAUUCUCAAGAAUAAUCCGGAACAUUUCAGAACCUUCCGAGAACUUCCGAAACCUUUUAGAAUAUUCUCGGUCAAUACCGAAAAAUAUCCUGAACUUUUCCGAAACAACUUUCCCAUAUAUAAUUUUUUAUCUCCGGACCAUUCCGAAGCUCCUCGUGAUGUCCUGGAUCCCAUCCUAGACUCCGAAUUGAUAUUCGAUAUCACCAUCUAUUAUCUCAUCGUACCCUAGCGACAUUAAGCAUUAAGUGUGUGACCCUACGGGUUCGAGAACAUGCGGACAUGACCGAGACACCUCUCUGAUCAAUAACCAAUAGCGGGACCUGGAUGUCCAUAAUGGUUUCCACAUAUUCCACGAAGAUCUCAUCGGUUGAACCACAAUAUCGAGGAUUCAAUUAAUCCGGUAUUCAAUUUCCUUUAUGUUGCGAUAUAUUAUUUGCCCGAGAUUUGAUCGUGGUAUCACCGUACCUAGUUCAAUCUCGUUACCGGCAAGUUCUCUUUACUCGUACCGCAAUAUAAUAUCCCCGUGACUAAACACAUUAGUCACAUGCUUGCAAACUCAUUAAGAUGUUAUAUUACCGAGAGAGCCCAGAGAUAUCUCUCCGUCACAUGGAAUGACAAAUCCCAGUCUUGAUCCAUACAACCCAACAAGCACCUUCCGAUAUACCUGAAGAACACCUUUAUGAUCACCCAGUUACGAGAUGAUGGUUGACGUCCACAAAGUAUUCUUCCGGUACUAGAGAGUGGCAUGAUCUCAUGGUUUAAGGAAAUGAUACUUGACAUAAUAAAAGCAUUAGCAAUUUAAACUUAAGUGACACGAUCAAAAGCUAUGCUUAGGUCACAUCAUUCUCCUAAUGAUAUGACCUCGUUAUUAAAUGACAACACAUGUCUAUGGUUAUGAAAUCUUAACCAUCUUUUAAUCAACGAGCUAAUCUAAUAGAGGCGUAUUAGGGACACCGUAUUUGUUUAUUUAUCCACACAUGUAUUUAUCUUCCUGUCAAUACAAUUAUAGCAUGGAUAAUAAACAUUUAUCAAGAACAAGAAAAUAUGAUAAUAACAAAUUUAUUAUUGACUCUAGGGCAUAUUUCUAACAGGAUCACCGCAGAGAGGCCUCCCGUAUUGUGCCGUUUGAUUCGGCAAUCGGUCUGACCAAGAACUAUAUAUUGACCAUGUUUUUCUCCUUUUUCAGUCUUCCUUCAGAUCUGAAUGGACGGUGCAAGGAUUGUUGCAAGGGGCAGGUGAAGGAGAGAAAGCGAGGCACGUUUGGCAGGGUCAUUUUCGCGGUUCCACACUUGGAGCCGGAGGCCCCCUCCCUGCCUCGUGAGAUCGAUGCUGUCAAUUUAGCUUGAUCCCCCUCUUAGCUUCUAGACAAGCAAGCAUCUGGCCUGCUUUAAUCUGGCCUUGUGAGGCGAUGAAGGCGAAAUACUAGAUGCUUUAAUCUGGCCUGCAUGCAUUGCAUUUGCAAAUCUUGCCUUGUUUGCUAGCAAGCUCUCCACAAACCCUUGCCUUAUUACUCAAGCAUCUCAUGAUUGCGUCUUUGCAUGAGCAGUGGCUUGCAUGGGAUGGAUGGGAGAGGGAGCGGUAGAGGGGCACACUGGCACUGCUGAUUAUUGGCAUCUUAUGUGGAAUCCUUGUGCUUGUCUGAAUUUCCCACGCUAAUAUUCACAUUCGUAUUCAGUAUUCAUUUUCGGGGUUAAAGCGAGGUCCGUAGAAUCGAGCCGAGAUGCGCGAAUUUCAUCUUUUCGAUCCUCCUGCUCAUAUAUUCUCCAUCUCCCCGUGCUUUUGCUCAUGUCGCCUUCAAUUUAGCACGGAAAAAAAAAGGGGGGGGGGGGGGGGGUAGCCUGGCUAAAGCCUAGACAGCAUUUUGGAAAAUCAACAAAGGGAGGCUGGCUUUACUUUAAGCAAUCUGAUACAGUACUGUUUUUGCUAUAUAAAAAUUUGACACUUUCCCAUCUAAAAAAAUGGCCUCUUUUUCGCGUGUUUUCUUGCUGCUUUAACAAUAUUCCAGGGCAAGAGAGAAAAGCAGAUUCCUGAAUGAUGCUGGGCUAGGUGAGAGGGGAGAAGGAAGCAAGCAAGCACUGGCUGCCACAACAAGUCACAGGGCAUUUGGCAAAGGUGAGGGCAUCGUCAAUAAUUCCUUCUAAAGAGCUCAUCAAAGUCUAUAUAUCACCAGAUUUUUAAAGGCAUCAGGAGGAAAAAGCGGAGCUGAGUGUGAGUGUGUGUGCGUGGGCCCGAGGGAAUCGGAAAAAGUACUCCGGCAAGAUGCCCAAGGUAACCCACAUGAAGAAUUCCUAUGCAGCUGUCAGCCAGGUAACAUGCCUCAACCGGGCAAGGACAUAAUUGAUGCAUAAUUACCUGGAUGCCUUCCGGAUCUUAUUUAUUGCUAUUGUUUUACAGCCGUCAUUUAUUUUCCUGGUAAAUCCAGGUCAGCAAUGAUCUUAGCCACGGACAGUUUAAUUGUUUUAUGCCGAUUUUUUUUUUCGGAAGGACAUCGAUGUUUCUGGGUCGAAACUGUUCAUCAUUGAUGGUUUUACCACGACCUGUCUGAUGAGCAAUCCAUGGGAAUCUUUGCUUUGUGGACCUUUGGCUAUAAAGCAGUGGUAGCCUUAAAAUUUACUGGUGGAUAAUCUUGCAGCUGCACGAAUCUUAGUGAAGAAAUCUUCACUUUGAAGGAAAGAGUCAGAGAUUUCCAAGGAAUAUUUUCCUGACUAAAUGAUCAGGAAAAAAUGAAUUGAUUUUUCUUUCCUGUCCUGAGAAUAUGUUGAGAUUUGCUACGCAUCUGUUGCAGCUGCAUUUCUAGCAACUUGCAGAAUAAGCUAAUCUAUUCGGCAGGUUCUGAAUAUACUGAACUCUGCUUUAGCACAGAUCUCUUCCCACCUCUUGAGAUAAGGUGGGCAGGAUUCCAUUGAUCCACUAAAGAAAAGCAUUAAACCGAAUAUUAGAUAGAGAUGACAAACUCCAAAGCAUCAAAAGAGGAUCGGGGAUAAAAGGAGCGAAUGACAUGAGAAAGCAAUUAAUCAGCGACGUUUUGCUUAGUGCCAAGUAGCAGCUAAAGCAAGCUUAUCUUGAUCAAACUCCACUGAAUUUUUUCUCUAGAAUUUCCACUUGAAGUUUUUCCCUGCCAGUUUUUUUUUAAUACUGAUCGCCCAGCGUGAAAUGAAACACAAAUCCUUCGUUGAUCAGCCGAAUCGGCAUUCUGUCGGUGCGGGUGCUGUGUGCUUCUUUCUCUGUUUAUCUGACACACACAACUUGCAUUGUGCCGAGGGCAUAUCAACAUGCAUUUGCAUGCUGUGAAUAAUUCAAGUCUCCUAUGAUGCUUUUGUGCCUGAAAUGACUGUUACACUCAAUGAUGCAUCUAGCCUUGAAAGUACUAAUAAUGGACUAAGAUGCAUGAAUUAGAACCAGCUAUCCUUCAGGCACUUAUUCAGCCCCAAGACAGUUUUUGGUACUGUUCGAUGGCCCGUGCUCUAAUCCCUGGACCCUGGUCCAAUAUUCCGAUUCCCCAAAUGUGCUCUAAUACCUCAAAAGCAAAUUUCAGAGUCCUCAAUUGUGAUGUUGCGAUUUUGUAUGAUGCAUUAACAUUAAUGCGUAGUUGGCAGAUCACAACGGAUUGAAUUGUAAGAGUAAAUUUCACAGAAUCACAGGUUUUGAAGCAGUCUUCUCACGGAGCACUGGUAGAUGCUAAUUUGUCCACAGAACCACAACUUGUUUGUCUAAUUGUCUCAGUCUACCCAAAACACGUGUUUAAACUCCUUUGACACUAUUUCUUACAGGCGGGGCCCGCACGUCAGGCGUCUCAUCUUUUUCAUCAGACCCCUCGUCUUUUUCUUUUUUUCCUCAUUGCCCAGCCGCUCUGCCCGGCCGCCGCCCUACUGCCCGCCGCGUGCCCGCCGGCCUACCGGCCGCCUCGCCCCGCUGCCGCGCCUGCUGCCCACCCGCCCCGACCUCGCCCGCCACUUCCGACAACUCCACAAGCGCGAGCGCAACAAGAAGCUCUGGCGCCUCCGCAGCCUCAGAAGAGAUGGAACAGGACGAGGCUGACAAGGCGAGGAAAAAAAGAAAAAGACGAGGGGUCUCAUGAAAAAAUGUGACGCCUGACGUGCGGGCCUCACCUGUAAGAAAUAGUGUCAAACGAGUUUAAACCCGUGUUUUGGAUGGACUGAGACAAUUGGACACAAAAGUUGUGGUUCUGUGGACAGAUUAGCAUCUACCAGUGCUCCGUGAGAAGGCUGACUCAAAACCUGUGGUUCUGUGAAAUUUACUCGAAUUGUAACGGAGACUAAGUUUGUCUGAUUUGCUCGCAGAACAUCAGUUCAGUUGGUUGACAAUCGGGAUACCAUGGAGUGUACUACUGUUCAGUUGGAAACAGAUGAAGCUGUCUGCAGGAACUUUCAGAACAUGGAAUGUAUAGCUACAAAUGCAUGUAAUAUUCCGAACUCUAUGUACAGAACUGAAUUUCAGCAACUGAACAUACAUCUUCUCAGUUAGCUUACUAUAAUAGUCGACAUACAAAAAGGGAUAUAUUGAAUAUUCUUGAGCAUUUGAAUACACUGCACAUUUGCAAGAGGUUACAAGCAUCGGUCAUGGCAUCAUCUGAUCACCAUAUGGCCAUCUGCAAGAGAGCUGAUCAAAGUGAGCUCUUGAGACAGAAAAGAGAGGCGGCAUCAGGGAGACAUGGAGCUUGCUUUCAAUUCUGAACAGCGAGCGUGCACAAACGCACAGUCACCGAAACCGAUAAAAUCAUUCACAGGGAGGAGCUGGCUGAGAGAUAGCGCAAUCUUUGCUUCAAUGCUAAGGCUUUGUGUGUGACUUUAAUUUGGAUCACGGCCUUUAGCUGAUAGAGCACACAUUUAGCUAUUGAUCUUGCAAAAGCAGCCUUUCAUUUGCAGUCCAACUCCGAUGCGUCAUAUUCACGGGCGAACGUUAACCGAGGAGAAUCAAAAGUCGAUCAGGAGCAAAAGAAGGGAAAGUAAUGUGCUUUUUCAAAAGAUAUGAAAUUUGAUUGCAGUCGUUCGAAGAUAAGAACACCGGCCGGAUGAGGUGAUAAGCAGUCUACGGAUAUAUUUCGUGCCGUCUCCAUUGUACUCACUCAAUCCUCCAAAUUUUCUACGGAUAGUGCUAUUGCUUUCUUGUGCUCUUUCUACCCCUUUGCAAGUUCCGCUCAAAAUAAACUACUCCCUCUGAUCCAUAAUAAGUGUCGCUGAUUUAGUACAAAGCGACAGUUAUUUUGGAUCCGGUGGAUUACUUCUUAGUGAAUUAAUUGGGUGAAAAAAGGAGGAUUGGUGUUUGAGACUCAAGGGAGGUAUAUUAGAAGUUUUACUUUUUUUUUGCUAGAAUAUUACAAGUUUUACAACGAUUUGCCCACUGAUACCAUGCGGCGAAGGGCAUGCGUAAAGGUCGGUGCAGCUAUUGCCUCUUCACUGUUGUAUCAAGAAAACCCGAAGUUAAGUAGAAGCGUAUAACGCAUGUUCUUGAGGACUAACUCUGAAGCGUUUACAUUCAGAACUCGGUUACAUUGGUCGAUCGUCGAAAGAAACUAUAGUGUGAUCAUCGGAGAUGCUUGUUUAGUAGGGAGUGGAGAGAGAGAGUCACACACAUCGGAGUCUUUUUUUUUUGACAGAAAACAUCGGAGUCAACUGGGCGAAAAGAAGGGGGAAGACAAAAACAAAGGAGAAUGAAACUCUCCUAUUGCAUUUUUUUUACGACAAUGGAUGUUGCCUGUUGGUGGUAGAACGGGCUGAUAUGGGUUUACCCGAACUGAAGCCGGAAAAAGCCCACCGAGAAUAACAGGAUGGUACAGUUUUUGUUUCCCGGGACACGCUCGUGGGCCUUAGCCGGUCGGCCAUCUGCAGAAGGGCUGAUCUUCGUUUGCGCGAAAGAGAAGUGAACGGGCUCGCUCGCUCGCUGGUUGUGCCGGGCCGUGCGUGAGAUGGGCCUGCGUACCUGGGGUGCUUUUCCGUGCGGCUUACGAACGUACAACUCGGCCCACGCCGACGAGGCUUCCAUCUGGGCCUCUGGGGAGGGCGACGGGAAGGACGAUAACGGCGGGACACCGGCCACCAGACGACAGGACAAAAGGAGGAAUCGGACGGCGGAAAAGGGGCUGCCGUGGCGCCGAGUUCAUGCACCAAAUCGACCGACUCACCGCAAGACGCGGUUGCUUAUUAUCCGUGCCGCAUGAGGCACCGUUUGUUUGGUUGUUUUUUUAGAGUACCGGUACAAUGUCCGUGCGAAGUCACGGGGUCGAUCUCCUGAAAUCUGACACACCCCGAUCCCAAGUAAGUGAAACGGAAGCACGCGCGUGCGACGCAGAAUCCACAGGCCUUGAUCUCACUCAAAUUUGAGGGUAGACGGACUUGAAGACGCGGCGGAGGAGGCCGCAGGAGUCGUGCGUCCAGAGGUCCGCGUCGGCGGCGGCAUCCUCUCAGCUGCCGACGUGUUCCUCAUUGGCGGCGAUGGCCGUGGAAGGGUAGCCGAGGAGGAAGGACUGGUGGAUCUGCGCCUGGAGAAGCGCGAGCGUCAUUAGGGCCGACCGAGAGGAAAUCAGCGGCGGCGGGGUUGGGGGAGAAUUCAGCGACGGCGUCGGUUAGCCGAGGAGAAGCCGGAGGUGGCGCCGCGCCGCAGUGCGACCGUGCGAGGGGAUGAGGAGGAGUGGAGGCAGGGCAAAAUUGCAAGAAAACCCAGUUUUUGCAGAAAAUCCCAAUUCUGUCCGCAACCUGGGCUUCGAGUUGAUUCUCCAAAAACGGAAGGGGUAAAAUGCAAAUUGGCCGACGGACCGACGACGAAGGAAGCCUUACUGCUUUUAUUGUUUGGUUAGAUUAGAUUAGAUUAGAUUAUCCAAUCUAAAAUGAAAAACAUUAGAACCCGAAUAGAAAAGAUUUAGACAGGAUAAUCUCUAGUUUCCCUACAAAACAUUCCUUUUUUUAUCAAAUUAAAACAUUUCUCAAACAAAACUCUACUGUUUUGGGUUUUUAAAGAGUUUUGGAUAAAUCAAAACACUAGUGAUUAAAAAAAUACACUAACACCAAACAAAUUUGAUUAAAACAUUUGUGAUAUGGACAUUUUAAGGGUCCAGCUUAUGAAUUUUUUUGGUCUUUUUUGUGUUCCUAUUUGGUUGCAGAUGAGGGAUUUUGACUUAAACGAGUGUCCUGUCGAACUCAAUAUUGCUGUUGGGACUGAGGAAGGGUAUGGAACAACUUUAUUCCCAUUGUAUUGCACCCAAAAACUGCCUAACAAAGAUACCCAUCAGCAUGAUGGUGAUUGUGGUGAGUCCCAUAAUGCAAAUGCAAAUGCAGUGGACAAUUUGAUUCACGAAGGGCAUGUUGGGCAGUUUGAGUCUUCAUCAUUAAACCAGCAAUCGAUUGAUGCCCCUGGAGAAGUGCAUAUUGAAGAACAAUAUGAUGGUGAAGAAGCUUUGUCACAGCCCCAAGAGCCUUUCCUAGGAAUGAGAUUUGAUACUUUGUUGUGUGCUCGUAACCACUACAAUGCUUAUGCACUGAAGCUUGGGUUCUCAAUAAGAUCAAACACUUCUAGGAGAUCGUUCUACACAAAUGAAGUUGUGAAACAGCAGUUUGUUUGCAACAAGUUCAGAAAGCCUAAACCUGAAGGUAGCAAUACACAUAAGCCUAAAGUUGCUCCUGCUAUUUGCUCAGAAUCUGGAGGGGAUAGCGAUGAGGAAUCUGAACUUGAUGAACAUGCUUUUGCUAAAGGCAAGAAAGUAGUGAAAAAGAGAAGAAGAGAAACAAUUAAACAAACCAAUUGCAAAGCACGGAUGAUGGUGAAGCUAAUAGAUUCUAGGUGGGAAGUAACAUAUUUCAUUGGUGAGCACAAUCAUCCUUUGAUUGCAAAGCCAUCCCUCACGAAGUAUCUCCGUUCGCAUUAGGGUAUAUCCAAGGAGGAAGAAGAGUUUUUGUCAGUUCUACAUGAUUGCAACGUCGAGACAGGUGAUAACCAGCUUUUGCCCAUUGUGUUCCCUAAUAGUUGCCCCCCUUUUACUAGUUGUAUGUUAAACUUGCCAAAAUGUACGUUUAGGAAAAGCAAAAUUGAACAGGAAAAUUCCACUUAUUUUGGGAGGCAAAAUUUAGCAACAAGUUUACAAAAAAUCAAAAAAUUGAGCCCCAGCAGUGUAAAAAAGCAACUUACAGUGCUAUGCAAGGCUGCUUUUUUGUGAAAAGCAAUUCACAUUGGGUAUGCUGAAAAAACCUACCCAUCGACAAACAGAAAGGAUCAAAAUUUACUUCCGCAAUUCUUUUGUGUACAUGCACACUAAAAACUUGGAACAAACACCAAAAAAAGACACAGUUAGCUUCCAAGGCUGGAAAAAAAGCACAAGCAGAAAAGUUAGCCGCUGGACUGCAUAAAUGAGCUGAGAACGCGAUUUUAGAAUAACUUACAUGCAAAUUCCCAUAAACUCCAGGUCCUUUCAUAUCUUGUUGGAUCACUCUGUUUAUGGCUUGCGUCGUCUAUGCUUGGAUACGCACAGGGCAGUUGCUCAAGGGCUCGUCGGUGAUCAGCGAAUCGAGAUAAUAGAUCUGGAAAUUAGUUUAAGUUCAGUUAUGAGUUUAGAUUAAAAAAAAAGAAGGAAAAAUGCAGGAAAAAUGAAUCCUACUAAAUAAGGAAAGAGUUUUGAUAAAGCUUACGAAAAGGUGAUACACGCAGCACCGGACUGAGUUCUUUUCAUCACCCAACUUCUUAAAAGCUAUUUGUAGUUGAUCAACUACGAACUGACAGAAAUUUAAGUUGUCAACAACAUCCAAAUUUAUGAAGGACGGGUAGCACCGUGGGCUGUGUUUCAGGCCUAUAGUUGGGCAAAGAAAGCAGGACAUUGCGGUGAUCAGACAGGCCCUGAGAAACUUGUCAUCUGCUUCCUUCAUUUCGCCAAUCAUUUUGCACCAAGCUGUGAUAUCUGGUGAUGAACCUUUUUCGAAGCCAUACUCUUGGAUGAUGAAAUCUGUGGCUUCCUGGUUCAUCACAUAGUUGACUUUCCCGCCUUUGUUUGGCAAUUUAAACAAUUUGUACACACUGUCAGCCGUUAUUUCGAUGAUACCCCUCUCAGUAACAACCAAUUCUGAUAACUCCGAGUUGUAGCAGCUCAUCACAAACUUACAGAACUCUGCUGGCAUUGUGUGAGAAGGCAAAAAUAGUAAGCCACCAAAAUGCCUCUUCCUGAUCAAUGCCUUCUGAUCGGGUGUUAGAUCUUUGUUAAUUUUGUAGAGCCUAGCAGGAGAUGCCAUGUUCCUCCCGACCUAAAGUAUUUACCAAACAAAGCAGAAAUAAAAGGUUAGAUCAAGAAAAUAAGCAAGCUAAAUGAGAUUGUAAUAAUGUAGUUAGCAACUUUAAACAAACAUAAAAAGGUUGCCACCUAUUUUUUAGCAAACUACGUGAUUCUAUUACUUCUUUCUCUGUUCUCCUGGGGGGUACGCAUUUAGCAACCUGUGCAUCUACAAUCUCUUUGACAGCUUCAUUAGGGGCCUUGGCGACAUUCCCUCCUAUGGGAGCCUCAUCAAUAGUUGCCUCGCCAACAGUUGCCUCCGUGGGAGCCUCAGCGACAGAAGUCUCGCGAGAACACUGCAUGUAAAAAACAAGUUAAAUAAUUACUAUGGGUUCCUAAAAAAGCAAAAACAAAACAAAACAAAACAAAACACAAGAACAUAAAAAUGUACCUCUAGGGAUAGCAUAGCAACACCGCCUGCUAUGCCUCCCACGGGUUCUACUAUGGCUUUAGAAUUGCGUCUCCUGCGGCGAUGGAUUAAACCCCAGUUUCAUCGUCUUCAGGUCCUUCCUCGAUAAUGUUCAUUAUAGCUCCUGCAGAAAAAAGGGAUGCAUAAAUAUGCAGAAUUUUCUGUGGCUAGUUUACAGCACUAUAUAAACAACCCAACCCAAUGAGUGAAAAAAAUGGACAUACACAGUUACUGAUCAACCUGUAAAAAAUGGGAAAAUGUAGACAUAGCAUAGCUCAUUUAACAACUUCUAAUUCAGCACAGGUUUAUGCCCUGAACCUGGGAACUAAAAAUCACCCCCUAAAUGUGGACAAAUGUGUCAAAAGUUUGCCUAAAAAAAUGGGAACAGUAAUGAUUCUCCUAUAGAAAGCAACUCCUAAAACACAGUGUUGCAUCCUGAUAAAACACCUGGAACAAAAAUAUAAGUGCCCCCACUAAGAAUUGCCAUUAAAAAGCAACUCCUAAGAAUUUGCCUAACCAACAGUAAGGGGCAGGUAAAAAAAUGCAAAAUCCCCCUAAAACAAAAGGCAAAAAGAGACACAAAAAUCACUUAUGAUACUCCUAGAAGCAACUCCCUGAGAAAAAUUUGCCCAGUAGAAGCAACUACCUGAACAAAUUUACGAUACUCCUAUAAGCAACUCCCUAAGAAAAAAUUGCCCAGUAGAAGCAACUACCACAAAUUUACCCCAUAUACAUGCACAGUAGAAGCAACUUCCUGAUAAUUUGCUACGGACAAAAACAUGACAUAAGCAACUUAGAAUGCUCUGCUGAAUUAGAAGUUGCCAUAUGCAAUUUAGGGCCCAAAAAGACCCGUCAAAAAAGUGGUCAGCACUGAACUAGGUCCAAAAAUUCCAAUCCAAUUCCAACUGAUUUGGUUACGGUUGGAAUUGGCGCAGAUUAUGCAGAUUAAACAUCUCCCAGACGUCUACCCCCCAAUAUCCAUGGCACCCUAAUAUGAGCUAAUCGCUAGCCUGAAGCAUCUACUAGGGAUUCAUCUACUGUAGAUGGUGUGCGCGCAUGCUCGAGUUUGGGUAUGUUGAGGAGAGAUGUGCAAGGAGGGGGGCUAACCGUAGAUGUUGCGCGCGCGCUCGCUGCCGCAGUCGAUGCGUCCCGCCUCGUGUAGUCGUGCUAGCUGCGCCAGCGGUGGUCGAUGUGCCCGCCGGGGUCGCCCUCCUGGAGCCCUCAGCAACGCGCCCUACGGCAUGCAGGAGCCCCCGUGCACCCCCAUAAUAUUGCCGGUGAAAACUCGCUCCUCGCCGAAACCCUUGCCCCCGCCGCCUCUGGCAAAACUCGGCGCCGAUGUCACCUCCGACCGUCCCGGCACUGUCGACGGCCUUGUUGCUGUUCCGCUGCGCCUCGCCGACACGAAGCUCGCCGGAAUCGCCGAUGCAAAAUCGCGCGCGCGCGAGAGCGAGAGAGAGAGAGAGAGAGAGAGAGAGAGAGAGAGAGAGCGGUGGGGUUCGCGAGGGGGGAAUGGGGAACGGGAAAGCGGAAGAGACAACAGCGCGUCCCCCAAAGCUUUGAAAAAAAAGAGCUUAACAGGUUGACACGUGGGGCCCGCCCGACCGACGGGGGAGGCUGUCUUAACUGCAUCGCGCGGCGCGGAAGCGCCAGGGUGAAUCGGACGGCUUCCAACGUGCGCGCCCGUUCGAAGCGAAAAGGGCAUAAGCACUUUCGGAUAAAACAAAGAGUACACAAGGAACCUACCCAACUAGCAGUAACUUCAAAGUCCACAAAAUGUUUUGCCAUAAACGAUACUAUUUCCACUGGCAUUGACAGGACACAGGACCUUGGGAGUACAGGAUAUGAUUCACAGCAGUCAGCAUACUGCAUCGACCGACCGAUAUGUAUCUUCACAAUGAAUGCAUAUCACCCCACACUGUAAACAACCAACCCUGCUGGCAGGCAAGCCAGAGAAUUCACCUGCAGUCACCCCCCAGCGGUCGAGCUAGCGGACAGGAGUAGAUACACACCACGGAAACUCACAAAUCAAUCGCCAAAGCCACUGGAUCAGCAGGAAGCAGUAAUUAAUGGCAAAGCUUACAUGUCAAGUCAAUCAGAGCAGUGUGUGACUGUGUGGACCCUGGACCCAGCAACAAGACACAGAUACUAUCAUUAUGCAGCACGCGUUGUAUAUGUGUCUUUCACCGAGUUCGUGCCAAUUUGUCUAAUUGUCUGCCCCAUAAUCUGCGUGGCCCGGUAGUAUGUGUGUCUGCGGCUCUGCGUUGCCAUGCCUUGUGCUGUGCAGAGGAUUAAAUUGCAGCUUCAGGUGUAAAUAUGCCCGUCGCAGGGACAGCUCCGAAAUCCGAGGUGCGGACGAGCACCGUGGGCCAGCGACGACGACCACGCUCCAAAGUCUCAUCAUUUUUUCCGAACAAAGGGUAGAAAGUAACUUUAAAUAGCAACAUGCAUAUGUUAUUAGUUUAAAUUACUGUCUUCAUAAUGCCUUCAAACUUAUAUAUGGAGUCCUGCAUUGUGUCAUUAAUUAUGUUGUAAACUCAUCUUAUUUUUUUUUUACGAAACAGCCACAACGACCUAUUAUUUAUUGCCACCGAAGGUCGGAGAGAAUCCAACCGGAAGGUUACAUGUAGGAAAGAGAAACACCAGAGCUUGGAGGCAGGAACAGAGGAAAUAAAGGAAAAAGAUUAAAGCACAUCAUCGGGUCCUGAAACAAGAGCAACUAGACCUAUUAGCACUAGUUGCGCCUCAACAUCUUCAAAAAAGACAAUCUUCCGGGCAGCAGUAGAACCCUUGCAAUUGGAACAACGAUUCCCAUUCCGCGGCGACUUAUAACGAUCAUUUGCUGGCCCCUUUCCAUCAGCGCCUCUUUUAAGCAUUUCAACAAAAUAAUGCCGACCACGUGCUGCAGCUGCAUGAGGCAUCCGCUCAAAAAAGGAGCAUUUCAUACUAAACAUCAAAGUGUAACCAGGAACAACCGGGCAAAGAACGCCGGACUUCAAGAUCCUAACACGCAAAGGGAUGCAAUGUAUAUCAAAUGGGUGUCUCCUCACCAACCGCCUCGAGCUCCGCAGCUGUGAAAUCCAAAGCUGCAAGGUCGAUCUGAGCCUUUCCACGAAGGCCAGUCAGGACGCUCAACGCUUCGAUCACCUUCGGCGUGAGCGGCUUCUUGUACAUCUCCAAGUAGGUGGCCAUCUUAUUCUUUGCCUCAUGAUCUCCUUUCGCCUCCUUAUCACCCACCUCUGAAACCUCCCCAAAGGCUUCCAUCAACCUAUGCUCAGCGCGCUUGGCAAUAGGGAUGUUGCAUUUCUUGUUCUUCUGAACCAGGCGGCCACUACGGCGAGGGGUGCUGUCCACGCGCACCUGCGCUGGCAUCGGGGUCCCAAGCAAGGAGGGAGGCCUGACACAGGUGACCUUGCUGAUCAACUCUUCCACAGUGAUUGGUGGCACCUCCUCUUGCACAACAUUAGUCUCAAUGUGCAUCCCUCUUUCUUGGGGAUCUACUCCUGCACAACCUUCUCCAACGGCCUUCAUCAUGCGCCUUGCAUCGAAGGAGAUGGCCUUCUUGGGUGUUGGCGUCUUCUCAUGGACAAAUAGAGGCUGAGGCAGGUAUGGUUCAGCAAGCACACUUGCCACCUCCUCCAUGGGCUGAGACACAACCUCACAGCAAAUCAGAGCUUCAACAACCAUUGGGUCCUCCCCCAAGCAGUCCCCGCAGCAUUGCAGGCUACCAAUCAAGGGAGACACCAUGUCCAGCACUUCCGAAAAGCAAGCAGGCUUAGCAAGGGGAAUGGAAGCUUCAGUAACCAUUGGAUCUUGCCAAGGAGGGUCGUUGCGGUUGUCGAAGAGAAGCAGACAAGUUGGCAUACAAUCGACAAUAGGGUCAUGGAAAACAGCAGCUUCGCGCAUGGCCGAGCACAACAGAGGUUUGGUGGCGAGCUCACCAGAUAUCCUUGCAACCGGGGCAUGGAGAGCAUGAGGCUGCUGUCGAGGGCUAUGACGGGUGGGGCAAGAACUGGCAAUAUGACCAUUCUUCCUGCAGUUGAGGCAUCUCACAGGGUAUCUGCACUGGGCCACGCGAUGAUCAGACGCAAGACACCGCAAACAUUUGUUCCAGAAAGUCUUCCGGUAACGCUCGACGGCAGCCUGCGAAGGAGGUGGUCGCUGCACGGCAACAACAGGAGCAGAGACCAGACGCCCAGACUUCAACUCUCUCCACCAACCCUUGGGUUUGACAACCUCCCACGGAGACCCCCCUUGGUUAACAGCAGACUUGGAGGGAGGGGCCGACAGCGAAGGGUCUCCAGCAGCAGGGCCAUCCACCGGUCUUCCUGCGAGGCCCACCGCCGAGGGGGCGUGACGUGCGCAAGCAGAACCGGCUGGGAGAUGGAAACCGUCAUGGCAGACAGAGCAGCGUCCACUGUCCGCGGACCCGAUUCAGGCAUGGGGGCGGCGCAAAGUACCUGGGGCGUCGCUAAUGAGGAAGCUCGGGGCAGCACAGCCACAGGGGACGGCAGGUCGACCUCAUCCUCUGCAGAAAGGGGUGGAUCUUCGUCGCCGAAGGAGCCCCAAUCGAGUUUCUCGGGAGAAUCCUCAUCUGGAUCUGAAAAUUCGCAAGGGCUAGAGGAGCAGCGAAUGGAGGGAGAUGGAGAGGCUGCUGUGGGUGAGGAGGCCAUAUGGCAUGGCUGGGAGGUGGAGGCGUGAGGGCGUGGGGAGGCGGAGGCGUGGGUGCUUGGGGAGACGGAGCUACGCGGUGGCCGCGGCCGCCGCCGCGGAGUUGCCAGACGCGUCGCAGGGGCUCAUAGCAGCGGACACUCGUCUUAUCUUGAUGUGUAAUGGCAGUGUUUGGUUGGGGAAAUCAAGUGGAACGAAGUGGAAUGGUUCCAGUUUUGAAGGUGGUUUCAGCGUUUGGUUGAAAGAACGGAGAAAAUUGGCAUGGAACGAAAUGGUUCCACGGUUGGGAAUAUACCCCUCAGAUUCGGAACGAACCGAUUCCUAAAAAAACAAGGAAUCAUCUCGUUCCACCUCUCUCGCGCGAAAGAUUGGACUCCUGGCCCUCUCUCUUUCUAUUCUCACCCGGCGCUCUCUCUCCCAUGGCGGCUGCCCCUACUUCCACCCCCCACAGAUUUGGGCGCCACACAACCUCCGGACUCCCUCAUCGGCCAAAUCUGGUCCAAGCCUACGGCGGUGGAGGAGGGAGACGACGUGGAAGCAGUUUCGGUCGGCGGCGACGGAGGAAGGUCGUGAAGGGGAGAGGAGGCCGGCAACUUGGAGGAGAACGACGAGGUCUACCCGGUGGAGUGCGUGACCGCAUUCAAGACGGGCGAGGAGUUCACCUACUUCCUGGAGCGGUCAAGGGCGACGGGCACGCUGUUGGUGGUGGACUUCUUCCGGUCAUCAUGUGGCAGCUGCAACUACGUCGAGCAGGGCUUCAUGAAGCUCUCAAGCGCUCCGGCGACGACGGUUACCCCGUCAUCUCCCUCAAGCACAAGUGCACAACGUCUUGUUGGUUGGUAAUAAUUGAUUUGGAGCGGCCGAGUACUAAUUCCGUAAAUGUAGAGCAAGCUUAAUUAGCUUUCCUUCCAACGAGCCCUAAAUUAACGAAACAACAUCUUCAUUCCAUAACAAUUGAUGCUCUUCCAUGAAUGUGUUGUAUGGAAACAUUAAUACUGGUUCUUCUUAUAUCAGCUCUACUAUUUUGUUAUGGUUGAUAUAUGAUUAUGUAAAAAUUGUUGAUGUGAAAAAUACAAAAUAAGUGCGGACAUUUUUUUAUUAUUGUAAAAAUUAUAUAAAUAGCUAUAUUCUCAUGCUCACAGUCAUAUUGAUAAUCUCACCAGAAGUGAGUGCAUCUUGACCAUCUCAUUUCAUCUUCUCAACCAAACACAAAAUGGAACCAUUUUACUCCGUUCCAUCUCCUCAACCAAACAAAAUUCACAGCCGUUCCAUCUCCUCAACCAAACACCAAACCGGAACCUAUAAGAAUGGAACGGAACGGAAUGGAAUGGAACGGUUCCAUUCCAUUCCACACCACUCUAGAACCAAACACAGCCUAUCUUGAUUCGUGUGAUGUUAUGGUAACAUAUCAGUUACCACAAAUCCAUCUCUUUUUUCAUUUAUUGCCAUGCCAUGUCAUCCAAAAAUGACUAGUUGGCAUCUAUGUUACUACGCUAGCCAGCAACACCAUUAUCCGUCAAAUUAACAAAACGUUGUAGGUACGUGAUCCACGCAGAAUUUAAAUUCGGGUCGCGAGCCUGUCGAUCGGUACGGUUUCUUGUCUCUACGUGAUUAAAUUAGCUGACAUUAAAGUUUGGAUCGAUCGCGAGACUCGUAGUACUACUCGUAGGAAAGAACGUAUUUAUUGUGCGUGAUACUGAAUCCAGUCAUUCAGACCGCGAGCUCAUCAUGGAACAGUACACCAUCCGGGGCCCCUGCCUGUGCCUGCACGCGUUCACUGCAUGAAGUUUGUUGCAGCGCGCGCUGCGCCUUAACUCGCUUGCCGCCAGACCCGGUCAUGAUGGCCCGUCGGCCGUGGAUCGGUCCUGCGUCCAGAGCUAAACAAAAACGUGAGCUCAUUUGCUCUUGCCUGCGCGGCGGCCCGGCCCUAUCGAUCUGUCGUAGAGCGUGCGUGCACCACUGGAUGAAGUGUGGCAUGCAGUUGCUUACUGUCAAAAUGCGUCAUGAUCGAUCGAGCCAUGAGGUAAGCAGACACGAGGAACAAAAUCCGUAGCUGUAAUGUAAUGACUGAUGACCACACAUCAUGGCACAUUCUCAGUCUGGUACUGCGUUCGUACUGCAGAAUUUUGACAUAUCCAUCCCAUUUGUCCCCGGCCCCCUGGCUACGUACGUACUGGACCUCCGGAGCUGGAGUAGCUAGCCAUGUGCAUUGCUUCUCCAAUGCGUAUACAUUGUCAUAGACUGGUAGCUAAUACGGCGGCUGAUAGGUGCGUCCAACGACCGAAGUUCUGAAAACAAGGCCUUAGAUCGAUCUAGCUGCUAGCUAAGCUGCAUACUUGACGCGCAGGGGAAAUUAGCAUAUGUAUGCAGAUCGUCGUACGUGUUUACACCGGCAAAAGCUAGCUAGCGUGCAUGCAGUUCAUCAUGAAACGACCACCAGGACCAGACUAACUAACUUAGAGCUACCGUAGCUACAUGCCAUAUACUAUGUGCACGCACAUGAGUCACGAAAUUGGCCCAUCGCCCCUAGAAUUCAGCACAUUCACGACGGUAUCUGAAUGCAUGGAGCCACCGAGUAUGCAUGUCUUUGAAUGAAUUGAAGCACCAACCGGCCGGCCGGGGCCAGACUAAUUCAAGCCGCGGGGCACUUGCUGCCACUGCGCCGUUCCUGGAUCGCAACCCAACCUUGUCUUGCCUUGCCUUGGGUUUCCAGCUACUCCAGUAAGCUGCAUCCUGACAACUAGGUCCUCAUGACGCCCGGCGCGAGAUCCUGCAGGCUAGCUAGCUGCGGCUUGAUUGAUCCGCAGCCAAAUAUUGGCAGCGCCUGCGUCGAUCUGCUGCAGGCAAGGCAAUGUAGGUUUUAGCACUCAGAUAGUCAGAUGUCAGCAGUUAUUAAGCGUCUCCUCAUUUAUACAUGGGUUUGACGGUUACCACUUGAAUUCGCGCUCACUAGCUAGCUCUGACACUGAAUGGGGGGAGGAAUUUUGGCUGCUCGAUCAGGAGGGGGGUUCACAGCCAGGCUACAGGUUCAGGCUCUCUGUCCCAAAUCCUCGGAUGCAUGCAUGAUUGCCUGCUUGCUUGCUUUGGACCUGCUACGACUAGCAGUAGCGGUUAGGAUGGGGCGCGCAUUGUGCUGCGGUAGGUACAGUAAUAUCUGUAGGUGACACACUCCGCCGCUGCUGAUUUACAGUCCUCUCAACUCCUGCUAGAUCCCCUCUCUAAAUAACUGGCUGUCAAGUUCAACUAUCGAUUUUGACCUGCGUACGUGGGGUGCGUGAUUCCAAGUGUUAUGGGACGAAUUUAAUUGUAGCUUACUACUCCCUCCGUGCCAAAUUAACUGUCGUGGAUUUGCAUAAGAAUCUAUUUCAAUUAAUUCGGGACGGAGGGAGUCCUAUUUCAGUUCAGCUUCUGAAAGUUGAGACACGAAUUAUAAUCCUCAAUUCCUCAUGCAUUUCCGGCCUUUGGGCUGGUAUCCUUGAUCACUUCAUCUCCACCGGAACUGGAGCCCUUCUGUUGUUUUUACCUUGCAUUCUUCUCCCACAUAUCCAGCUUUGAUCUCCAGCUUCUGUGUUGCUUUCGGUAUUGCCAUGCUUCUAGCAUGCAUGGUACCUGCUCUUCUUGUACAGAGCAAUUUUUGACAUGGCUGUUCGUAGUCGUAGCUAUAGUACUGGUACUGUUAGAAUUGACGUAGUAUCAGUAAGUAGAUAACACCUAUACAUGUAUAUAGCGUGUACUCAACUGUAUUGCGCACAUCAAUUAUUGAACCAUGCAUUGGAGCUUGCUCGAAGGGCGCGCGGCAUUGAUUGAAGCCGUUAGAAAACGUUGGUGGCGGUAGCAUAACGGCAUAAAUGUGGAGGUUUGUUGGAAGCAGCCAUGAUUGGGCAUGCUGCAAAGCUCGCGAGAGGCAUGGCGUGGUUGUCAUGUAUGGACAGAUUGGAGACUUUUGAGCAUUGUGUGUGGACCAUGAAUGCAUGUGUGCGUCCUGCCUCCCUGCCUGCCUGCCAAUCCCUCUCCCUUGCCAUUACUCUUGCUUACUCACGCACCCUCUCUCCCUGCACCAAUUGCUUUCUUUCCUACUGAAUCGCAUAUUUUGCACGGACCCUUUCGUUCAGCCCUGGGAGAUAUAUUGUCCAGAGCUCCCCUGCCUUGGCAUUCAGACAACAGCAACCUUGCUCGCUGCUCUAGCUUUGCUGCUAAACAUGGCCACCACGUCGCCGCCCAGGGCCCCCGGCCUGCUGCCUACUUCCGUGCAACCAGAGAGAUUCAGGCUUUCUGGCCAACGUCUUUUUCACUCUAACGAUUCAGUGAAAAACCUGAAAUUUCUACUGUUCGGUAUAGUUACCAUGAAACCGACCGAUAUGCGGUUGGACGCACGCAACGACUGGUGAGGAUAGUAGUAAUAGACCAGCUAGCUAGAACCAAUGAACAGAUUAUUCCGGGUACCUCGGCAGGCUCGGCUGGGCCUCUCUUUCGCCGGAAACAAACGCAAGAUUCUGGUUUGGAUUCAGGGGAUGGGCCGGCCACCGGCCACGUGAACAGAACAGUUCCAUCUUUUUCUGGCAUGAGCAUUGUUUUCCUGUCUCCCCUCUUCUCCUAUAAGUGGUCAAAAUGGAGAGAAGCUUUGGCCUGUACCUAACUAGGCAACUAAGGCAUAGCACAGCGUUUCACUUGCAGAUUGCAUUGAUGGCCUAAAAACACCAGGUUCGCUAGUCCUCAGACCCUUGAAUGUCAUCGUGUUAAUCAAUUUACUCACGAUUGGAUCGUCACGGAGAUCCGUACGUGCCAAUCCUUUUCCAUCGUCUCUAGCGAGGCCACCACAAUGCAAACGGAGGAAGUGCUGAUUAAUUGCGUUAUCAGACAGUGCUAAUUGGUGGGAUGCAUAAUAAUAAAAACUUGCCAGAUCCCAUUAUACUGAGAUGUGUGUGAAUACUUAUCUUACAUCUCGUUUGUCACCUAUCAUUUGCGCCUGAUAUCCUGAAUUUCAUUAUGGAUUACAACAACCAAUUUGCAUAGUUUGGCUGGCACAUAACUGGACACAUGCAUUUAUAAAAUCUGAAAUUUCACAGAAUCACACCCUAUAUCUAACCCCGGAUCUUCUCUAAGAGCCAUCAUUUCUCUGAAUUGUCUCAUUCUACAAAUUAAUGUGCAAAACAACAUGGAUUUUGAAUCUAGAAUUCAAAUUCAACAAAAUGAACAAAAUUUGGAAAUAAGGGUUGCCAAAUGGACAAUUACAGAUCCCCACAGAGAUUCGUUGUUUCUAUAUACCCAAAUACUUCAAGCUCAGCCCAUUACUCUUAUGGAGUACGCCCUCCGAUUUUAAAUUGUUGUCGUUGUUUUAGUUCAAAUUUAUACUAAAACAACGACAACAAUUUAGGAUUGGAGAAAUACUAGCUAGAUAACUGAAAUAUGUUAACUCGAAGUACCAAAAUGAUCAUGGGCGAUCGUAAAAAAAUGAUCAUGGGCGCAUUUUUUCUCACACAUUUUCAGGUUGUGAACUUUAAGAUGAAAUAAAGGCCAAAACAAAUACUCACGGGGCACACAUUAUAUUGCUACCAUGCCACCAUACAGGUUGAACAGAUCCCAUGCUAUCAUCUCCAACCAGAGUUCAUAGAAGUCCUCAUGUCAUGUUGCAGUAGGUACCAACGUAAAUCACUGCCUGAGGGAGGGGGACAGCAAGAUUCAAUUUUGUUUUUCUCUUAGACCCUUUCUUUCUUAUGCAACAAGCUGUGUAUUUUUACAUUUUGCCCCCUUAAUAUUUGUCUGUUCAUGCUUUUUUCCAACCUCCACCCCUGGAUCAGACCAAUGGGACACCUUAUGUAUAGCCUAGUUUAUUCGAAAAAUUGCCUGUUAAACACAAGGUCAUUUCAGCAAUUCAACAUCUACUAACAAACCUGGCUAAUGCUAUGAGAGAUUUCAGCAUUCGCCGGUCAGCCUAUCCCUGUAACCACUUUCCAAACUUAUUGAAAAUAUGACGAGACGGUGGAGAGUUAAAAACAACAAAGAUGACAAAUUUUAAAGCACUUCUAUAUACGAGUGUGCGAUGACAUAUAGCCUGGCUAGCUAACUAGUCUCCAACCAAUUUGAAUUUAUCUGGUGGAAGCCGACGAUUGAUUGAUGAAUGCAAGAGCGGGCGGGAGCGAGAUAAUACGCAUGCAAGUACUACAUACACAUGUGUCUACACUACUCUCGGGAGAAGCAAAUCACCUUUCCAACCCUUCUUUUUUUGGCCGGAUAGAUGUGUUUGGUAGAGACUAGCUAGAGAGGACCCGAUCGACAGGGCAUAUUUACUCAUGUUAGGUAACGAUGCAUGCGCCGGCCGGCCAUGCCUUCCCACGGACACCAGAUCGUUCGCUGCGUCCCGAACGGAGAUAAUCAGGGCAAGAUCGAUAUCUGCACCGGUCUAGUCACACAGUACCGCGCCUGCUGGUAUAUUGCCCAUCCACUGCACACACCUAUCUAUCUAGACUAUCCAUCUAUAUAUGCUUAUAUGCAUAUCUUAUGCAAAGAGGCCGAUCAGCGUCACGUCUCUGAACCACCCAUGUACACGCACAGGCGCACAGCUAUAGCUACCCUAGAGCUAGCUCCCUAGCUAGUUAGAUAGCUCUGGCUUUGCGUCGUUGGAACAAUUUCGGGCGUGUGAUUGCGUGUCGCUUUUCCUCAUUCAGGGCCGGUGCAAUCACCUUUGCUGCAGCUCUACUUGUGGAGGACGAGGAUGGAGUGGCUUGGCCAUAGCUCCUCCUACUAGCAACCUCCAGCGGCGUGCGUGGCCUUUGAAUGCUUGGCUUGGCUUUGGCUCUGCUGGGUGCAGGGUCGUGCCUCCUGGGUAAUAGGGUGUAUCCGCAUCUGUACUAACAUUGUCAAGUGUAUAUAAAUGGGCUUGCAGGUCUGGCACGUACUCAGCUAUCCGGACAGGCUAGGAGCUCAAAACUAUAGAUAAACAAUGAGUAGUCACGGAGACAGCAUUUUAUGGCAAUGGUAUCACAAAAAAAACAUAAUUGCGACUGACUUUCGCAGAUAACCACAAAAACUCUUAAAUAACUCUAUACAUCAAUUUGUGUAUUCUAAAAAAAUACUCUUAAAUAACUCAAAUUUAUCGGUUUAACGUGGUUAGCAGCUAUUUCCGACAGUUUGACCCACAUGUAAGUGACUGCGUGGGAAAAAAUUGGAACCUGACCAAACCAGCUGACUUAUAUAUAGCCCGGUUUAAAAACCUCCUCCAUAUGGUCAUUCUCAUUACUGUCUCUCCCUCGCCGGUCCUUAAGGUCUGGUUUCCGGUCCCCUGCGAGUCGGCAGGAAAGGGACCGAGCCCUCCUUUUGCGAUGGUCCUCGACGACGGGCUUCUCGGUCCGGCCGACGAGGGUGGCAAUUGUUGGCCGGGCUUCGGUAGGUAUGCCACCGGUGAUUGAUCAACGAGAUGAAGGAGAGAAGGAAGAGAGGCAAAAGCCCGACAUGCGUCGGAAGCGGUCAUGGUCAGCCACUAAACCGAAAGAUUUGAGUUUUUAGUACCUUACCAACUUAGGUGAGUUAUGUGAAGUCAUGUGUUGGAACUUUUUUAGUAAUAGAUAAAUUCACUUUUAGUCGAGACAAGAAUUAUGAGAUGACGAGAGCAAUGAAAUUAGUCACACGUGUGAUUUUGUGCUACCUUGUCACAAAAUUUUUGGUGUGAUGUUUACUUUUUCUUUACAAAACAAUUGCGAUUGAUAUGGCACUUAAAAUCGAGUGAACGGAGCCAAGAGCUCAGUUCGCUCUUUCUCUAGAUAAAAAAAAGAUACUACCUAUUUAGCGAAAAUGCAUGUUCAGUGUGAAUUUUGCGAAACUAAUGUGGAUAGCGGUUCAGAUCAAAGGUGCUUCCAGAAGUGUACGCAUUAUCCCACGUGUGUAUUGAAAAAAGGCUGUGACAAUCCAAGCGACUGAUUUUUAAGCAAAAUGUUUAAAUCUUAGCUGAAGUAGCAGAGCCGUCGGAUUAGCAUCUCGACGGCUUCGUAAUCCUUUCUUUCUUUCGUUCUUCCCCUAAAUCAUAAAGCAUGAUCCAGAUUUAACGACCGAGCAAUCAAUUGUCCCUGACUGCAAAUGAGGAUAGCAAAACCGUGAAAAAAAAGAUACAAAGACAAUAUAUACUCGGUGAUACGAUGGAAACUAGGCUGUCAAAAUUAAACAAUGGAAACUAGCACAAAUGGUUUUCUUAUUUUCUUUCCCCCCGCCGGAUAUGCAGGAGUAACAUCGUAGCACUAGCACACAUCAGGCUUGUGCUCCUCUUAUGGAAACACGGGAACCAAGCAGGGAGCUCUCUUUUGGCACAGUAUGGCACCACCGAGUCGACCACCAUCUCCACCAGUGACCAUGCCGCCAAGCAGCUAGCGCUUCGCCCUCCGGUCCAGCCAGCCGCACCCGCACCCGCACGGGCAGCUUCCUUUCUUUCUUUCCCACGGCCUCUCUCUGCCCGCUUUGGCCGCUAGCGAGCGCCUCUUUCCGCGCGAGAGAGACCGGCCGGGGCCGGGGCCGGGUCACGCGCGUACGUAACGUACGUGCUCCAGCAUCAUGCGCCCGGCCGGUACGUCUCCUUCACUGACCCAUUGGCGAUCGAGCGCACGAACGCGCCACUGUGGCAGGAUCAGCAGCACUGCUCACCCACCGGCCCGGUCUGCCUGGCGGAAAAAGAUUCGAUUAAUUGCCCUGAGCCCCUGACCGCCCGGGGGAUCCAAACGUUUGUUGUUCCUUCGAUCGGCUCCCCUCCCUCUAGUACGGAACACAAGUGCACGCACGUACGUACUUACGCGAGAUCGACCGAUGUUGUAGUACUUUACUACAAAGCAAAUACAGCACGACCACUCGUGUAUCAGCAGCGGUACAGCACAGUACGUACGUCUCUGUGCCACUACUUCCUACUGUACGUACGUACUACUACGUGCAACGCACACGUACGUGCUGCGGCUGUAGGGCCUGCAAGAGGGUUGGGUUGAAUUAAUAAUCGUCCGGCCGGGUUUGGACAAGAGCUAGCGUUCGUGCGUGCGUGCGUGCGCGCUCGCUGCCAGGACUGGUUCACAGGCCGCCGCACAGUUUGAAAAGAAAGGUGCCUGUAGUCGUUGCAGCUGGGCUCCUUCAGACAGACAGACAGAGAGACGGGCACACCGGCCGGGCGGAUAGCUUGCUUGCAUGCAUGUUUUGUCAAGGGGAUCAGGGAGUCAAGCAACCACGCCCCGCCCCUGCUGCCCUGCGUACGUGCGCUCUUCAUUUAAGAGUGAGAUUCUGCCUGAUCGAUCCGUCCAUCCCUGGCUUUGCUUAAUCGUUUUGCCUGCCUGUAUUUCCAUGUGCCAGGUACGUACCCAGGUAUUUGAGCAGCUACGAUCUUGCGUUGCAUGCUAGCUUGAUCAACCAAAAAACAUAUCAUUGUACCCGUAUCUGGCAGCAAUAAACAAAAAAUAUAUCUGGCGCAUGUACAUGAACAUUCAGACGUACCGGUUCCUUGCUGCUCACAGAGUGGGAGAGAGAGAAUGGAUGGAUGCGUGUGUUGUGUCCUUGCAAACCAACACACAUGUGGUGAGAUGACAUCUACACGUGCGGUGGGGGCUCUCGAUGCUUUGUUAAACUCGGUGAAAGCCAUGAGCGAUGGCAGGCGGUAGUAGUGGACAGCUGGGACAGUGACAAGCCUAGCGGUGCAGUAAAUAAUAAGAUCUUCUGCACCUCUCGUUUUACCGCACCCAACACACAAGGCUGCCAGCUGGUUCGUAAAUUUCACUGCCCACAUCUCGUCCAUGCAUGCAACAGGAAGAUUAGAUUACGUCGCUCGUCGGUCCUCGACUUGAAAUCUUGAAUACGUAGAGGACAAAACGGCAUGUCGAAUUAAUACGGUGUACCAGCAUGUAUGGGUAGACAGACACGUAUUCAUGAGUGUAUAAAGCAGAGUAUGAUGUUGAUUUCUCUGUACGGUUGGAUGUUCCGACGACCGAUUCCUGAUGAGUUAUAACUUAUACCAUGCCAACGGUUUGCUCCGGCCAACCCGCCGCGCGCGUGCAUGCGCGGUCCCCCAAAAGACCACGCAGCUCGAUCGAUCGCAACCUUAAUUCCUCAUACUGAUAAAUCUCCCUCUCACGCACGGGUUCGUACGGUUGUACCAUGCCAAUUAGGGUUGUGUUAAUGUGCUAUCUACAUCGGGCACACCAGUGCUUCUCCGGUUCGCAGCUGUAGCAGUACUACUCUCUCCGACCCAUAUUAUUUAUCUCAAAUUUGUUCAAAUAUAAAUAUAUCUGUGCUUAAAAAAGUCUGAAUACAUGUAAUAUUUCAUCAAGUAAUUUCGACCGGAGGGAACAGUAAAAGUUUGGCUAGUCUGAAUGAUCGAUGCUAAUCUGAGGACGUUAAUCAUUAUUGGCCUUAACGAGAAUAAUGUACUCCUAUUACACUUGUAUUGGGAGUGGCUUUACUCGGCGGCCCACGCCCGUAGGCACCGGCGGCCGUGCCUCGUCAUCCACGGGCAGGCGCCACGACGCGCAUAAAUAGCUGUCGGCGACCAGCGCGCAUGCACAACACCCCGCCGCGCGCGCAGACGAUCCCUCGCCUCGCCUCGUCUCACCAUCUACGGUCCUCCAGCUAGUAGCUAACCUAUCCAACAGUAAAAGGCAAAGCUCACACUUAGACGGGAGUAAAAAGAGUGCGAGUGAAGUGAGUGAUAGAGAGAGAGGCCUAGUAGCUGAUCUAGCCGUGCGUGGGUUCCUUUUAAAGUAAAACGAGCUUACAAGCUUGUGCUCCCUCCCGUCCAUCUCCUUCCUGCUGCUAGCUAGCUGCUUCCUCUCCUCUCUCCUCCAAGCUCCUUCAACUGGCCAGCCACUCACUAGCUAGCCGUGUCUUAGAUUGGUUGGGCGCAGCAAGAGAGAGUAAGGACUCGUAAUAGGUUAGCUGGGAUCCAUGCCUUGCUCGUCGGUGUCUCCUCCGUGGCUGCUCCGCGUGGCGGCCGAGCAGGCUGCAGCCGCAGCGUCGUCGUCUUCCUCGUCGACCAAGGGCGGCGGGCGCGUGCUCACGGCCACCAUGGACGACACGGGCGCCACCACGGGAGCCGCCGGAGGAUACAACAACAACGGGCAGCAGGAGAGCUGCAGCAGCGGGCAGUCCUCGAGGCAGCAGCAGCAGCUGGCUGCCCGCGGCCACUGGCGCCCCGCCGAGGACGCCAAGCUCCGCGAGCUCGUCGCCCUCUACGGGCCCCAGAACUGGAACCUCAUCGCCGAGAAGCUCGACGGCAGAUCCGGUAUACGCACAUCAUAAACCCCGCCGCGCAUUCCACUGACCCACGUCUGUUUAACUUAUUUAACUUAUAAAGUUUGUUUGAUUGUAAUAUGGGCCGGGCAGGGAAGAGCUGCAGGCUGCGGUGGUUCAACCAGCUGGACCCGCGGAUCAGCAAGCGGCCGUUCAGCGACGAGGAAGAAGAGCGGCUGAUGGGGGCGCACCGGUUCUACGGGAACAAGUGGGCCAUGAUCGCCAGGCUCUUCCCGGGCCGCACCGACAACGCCGUCAAGAACCACUGGCACGUCAUCAUGGCCCGCAAGUACCGCGAGCAGUCCACCGCAUACCGCAGGCGGAAGCUCAACCAGGCCGUCCAGCGGAAGCUCGACUCCUCAUCCUCCUCUUCCGUCCUGCCGUUGUCUACAGCCGCCGCCGGACCAGGAGCCGGGCACGUCGACUUCCAACAGCAGCAGUUCGACUACUCCGCCGGCGCCGAUGGGUUCAGCUUCCGGCACUACUGCUUCCCGCCUUUCCACGGAGGCUCAGGCGCCGCCGCCAUCGCUGCAGCCUCGGUCCAGGAGCCUUCCUUCUGCCUGUUCCCCGGUGAGUAACUGCAUUCGUUCGUUCGUUCGUUCCCGGCUGCUGACACUGACUGGUGGGCUCUCACACAAACUCCCUGCUGAGUGCUGAUCGAUUAUUCUAGCGGACCGAGCUUUGCUCACCGUCCGCUGACAAGCUUUCCCAGGCGCACGCACACGCACACCGUGCCGAUCAACUCUCUCAUCCUAUUCGUACGAACCACAUUCUACUGUAGGUCGAUCGAGCCGGGUUAACGGAGCCCCGGUGCUCGGGUCCCUUAUUGGUACUACACGGUAGUACUAACACGGCCGGCCUCAGCUGUUUCGUUGCUUACCCUGCCAGUACCUCCACCGGCCGGCAGCCGAAUAAAUGCCCUUGCGUCAAACAUGCAGCAUGUGGGGGGGAGAGACGAUGGAUACAUAGAUAGAUCGAAGACCAGGUACUGGCCGGGAAGACUUGGACUUCCUUCCUCUCCCCAACGGCGCACGUACAGUGUUCGUUCGACAAGCAGCUAGUAGCACAGUGAUCUCGCACACGCGCGCGUACAGGGGUUUGGCAGAGAUCAGGCGAUGGCGUACACGAGCCGAGCAGUAAGCUUUCACCCAACCACUGACCAGUAGUAGUAGCCCGGACGGACGGACGGACGGACGGACACUGUGGUGGAUGGACGGACGGACCGAUAAAACUUGCCACGGCCGUGCGUGGAGGAACAGGGACAUGGGAGGAACAGCGGUAUGGGCGGGGAGAUCAUCUGCCGCAUCAUAUCGAUCCCCAUAAAUGCCCCCACCACCCUCUUAUUUCCUCACCUGUAUAUAUAAUGCCUUCUCCUGUUCAUCAACUCGCGUUUCUUUCCUUGAUUUCUCACUUCCUCGAUCGGUUGAUGUCGUUGGAGUUUACUACCGUGUAAAAGGGUCCAAGUAAAGUAACUGUAAAACUAACGCGGUGGUUCUUGAAUCUUGACUUCUUGUUGUGUUUGACCGCAUGCGCGCAGGGCCCAGCGCGGCAUUGGUGCACGACGGGCGCCUGAUGACCGGCUGGGGAGGAGGUGAUCAAGGGAUGGGCCUCGCCCGGUACGGUGAUGCUCCGCCGCCGUUCCUGCUGCCGGCGUCGCACGGCGGCUGGAUCGCCGGCGGCGGCAGCCAUCAUGAGUUGGCGCGGUUCAUCUCCGACGAGGCAAUAAAUGGACCGCCGGCGGGCGCGGCGAGGGAUCAUCAGCAGCAGCAGCAGCAGCAGGGCGCGCACUUCGACUUCGACCAGGCCGCGGCGUCGCCGACAUUCAUAGAUUUCCUUGGGGUCGGCGCCACAUGAUCGAUCGAUACACCGACGCACGCACGCAUGCAUUGAUCCAUCGAUUCGAUGCAGAUUUAUGCUCUAUACUUAUCAAUUAGCACAAGCGUGAGUGCAUGCAUGCAAGCAGGAGGUGGAUCUAGCUAGGACGGGUACUAGCUCUAGCUUCUAGUUAGCUCGCUGUAAAACUACACAUGCUUGGCAAGCUUGCAGUCUUAGUGCUGCUCCUCGAUCUAGCUAGAUAAAAGCUGCAUGUGUAGUAUAACUAGUAUAGGUAUGUUCUGUCUGAGGUAGAUCAAGUUAGGAAUUUGUAGCUGGCCAAGGUUGUGUUUGAUUUGGAACUUUUUGGUGGAGGAAGGAGCAUGAACUUUGAUUAUUUGGGAUUUACUAGCUCUAGCUCCAUAUGAAUAACGCAAGUCUUGCAUCUGAUGCAUAAAAUGAGCUUUGUUUGAGCUUUAGCUCUAGAGGAGUACUGAUUAAUUCUUUUGGUCCUUAAUUAGUUGGUCAAUUUUAUUGGGAGGAUCUAUUUCUCAAUCGACUUUUUAGUCGUUAAUUUCUUACUAGUCGACAAUCAUAACUAUCUGAUUAAGAAUUUCUCGUCUUUGUACUUGCAUGAAUUUUAGGCAAGAGACGGUUGUUUAGUAUCAAUUCAAAAAUAGUUAUUUCUUGAUCGUUUUAGAAAUUAAUAGCAAAAAAAACGAUUUAAUAAUUGCCCAAUGUAGAUGACAAGGGACCGGCUACCUGUAGCUAGAUGUGUGGACUAGUACUGUCAGUACAGUCUAGUCUGCUGUUACUGCUUCUAACUAACUAAAACUAAUACUGUUAGUUCUUUGAGACUAUUAAUUGCACUCACGUGUGAUUUAAGAUCUUAAUGACACACGUACUGUUCGUCAUACUCAUGCUGAAAUGUUUCCUUCAAUUCAAAUUAAAGGUUGUUAUACAGAGAGGAUGUUUAUCAAUUUUUUCCCGCAAAGUUUAAUUUUAUGCAAAGCUGUAGUAUAAUACGUACUCCCGUUAGGUUACCUGGCAAAAAGUCACAACAUGCAUGUAUCUAGCUACUAAUGAACUUUCUUAAUUUAGAUCUUGAGUUACAAGGUAACCCUGAUGGAUUGGGUGGGCCGGCUGUGGAGCUAGCAUUAAUUAUUGUCCUGUGUUAGUUUGACAAAAAAUCUAAGACCCAGCACUGCUCACAAGGGAGAAAAUUCGGCACGUUCUUCUCUUGUGUUUGUUAAUCUAGCCAGGUGUUCAUUUUCUGAAGCGACUUGUGUUGUUCUAGCUGGUAGUAGUACAGUACGUGUUUGUAAUAAAUUAUGGGAUUGUUUGCAUAUAUGCUAGCAAGAUUGUCAUGCUGCGCGCAGUUCGUAGGCAUUGAAUGAAUGCAGCCAUGGUCUCAGUUGAGUAGAAAGGGACUGCUCGAUUCAGUUGAGACGUCUCACAUCUCAGAUACGUACGUGUUUCAUGUCCAGGCGGGUUAUAAUGGACUUGUCUCUUUUAGAGAGUGAAAUGGGCUAGCUAUAACUACAAACGUAGCCUUCGACCGGGCCGCAGACCAACUGUUGCGAUAAUCACGUAGGAUCCAUCGAGUGGCUUUUACAUAAUUGGGGGUGCCAGAGCGCUACCUGUUAAUUUCUUAAUCAAGCCACAAAACUGGUAUACCUUCGAAAAGGUUGCAACUAAACCGAUAUAUAUUUUACUGCGCUAACGAAAAUUAAAGUUCCAAAUUUUGCACUAAAAUCACGAUAAGUAUUUAGAAACAGAUGAAAUAACGUGUAAAACUGACCAUUAGACAGUACAACCUUUUUUUUUUGUACAGGGCAACUUGCAUUUAGAGCCAAAAGAGCGCCGGGAGGUGAUCGGUGAACCCCUAUUUGCUACCUGUUGCGGCAUACUAUGCCGCACAAGGCCUUAGCACUAGCUUAAUUGGGCCGGACCGGUACCUCUCUUUAUGAUUUUGUCUUUGUUUCUUUGUUACUACCUUAUUCCUGGUCAUUUUCGUUCGUGCUUGUAUCCAUCAUUUUGCUUUAUUUUAGCCUUUUCUGGACUUGUUAACUUGCUCCACUCCGGUGUAAUAAAGGGAGGAGGUGUAUUCCGAUCCUAUGCGUUCCGUUUAUGGGGAACAAAAGUUCUGUCCAAGUUCUUUUGCCGGCCGGUUUAGAGCGGGAUCGAGGUCGAUGAUCGGUUGCACAAACGCUGAAACGCCAGUCGCCAACCUAUAUGUAGCGACAUGUAUAGCGUGUUAGAUGACUUGCUGUGAUCCCGUCGCCCACCUCCCGACGCUCUCUACAACAGAUCGUGUGUUACACCUGCAGUUAUCAUCUGUAAUCUAUAUAUACUUCAUGCACUGUACUCGGUUAAUGCAAUACAAGCAGUUCCUCUUCACAAAUUAUCAUAGCGGCCAUCGAAAACGAUUUGACAUGUCGGCCACAUGCAUGCAUCGCAACGCACGCAAAGGCCGGCCGAGAGCCAGCAUCAAAUUAACCCGUACGUACGUACGUGCUGGGAGGAACUAACACGAUGUUGAUCUCUACCGGCGCCUAGCUAAGCUAGCUUGUACGGUCCCUGCAUGCCGGCAAAUACGUACGGGACGUACGGCACACUCAUAAUUAACUCGCCGUCUCUUUCUUCCGGCCGGUGUCUAGAUGCUCGGCACGGCCGUACGCGAGCCACAACGGCGACAAGCAGCUAGCUAGCACGGCCACGCACUUGGUUAAGCUAGCACUUGUUCGCACUACAAGGUUUUCAUCCUUUUGCCACGGAAAUGUUAGCCACAAGAUGAAUUCGGAUGCAAUAGAUAGGGUAUACUGCAACAUUAUUCAGUGUUGGUUGCGAUAUGGGGUCUGGUGGUUGCAAUAGCGGGUAAUGUUGCAACGGAUUUGUAUUGUUGUGUUUUCAAUUAUUGGGGUUGCGAUAAUUAUGACAUAUCGCCCCGAUACAUGUUUGUGUUGCCUUAAGAUCUGCGUUAUUGCCACUUGUUAUGUAAGGGUUGCAAAAGAGCAUUUGGUACAGCAACAAUUGUUGGGUGUUGCCAAGGACCUAUUUGAUAUAACAACGCCAAUGGUACCUGCUGCAAAAGGAUUUUCUAUGGCAACCAAUAUUUCCUGGUUGCGAAUGACCCAUUAGAAAUAGCAACGUAAAGCUGAAUGGUGGCAAACGCUUAUUGGAUAUAGCAACCAAAAUCAGAAUCGAUGCAAACGUGCCAUUAGAAAUGGCAACAUGACGUAGUCGUUGCAGAAACAUAUUUUUUUUAUAGCAACGCAACCCUUAAUGGAUGCAAGAGAGUUUUCGAUAUAGCAACCAUGCUCUUACUGGGUUGCAACAAUCGGAGUUCCAUUGCAACACAUGUAAGCGGUCGCUAUUUGGUAAGGCAAAAAAAAGAAAAAAUCACAACCCUUUUUUUUAUAUGGGACCGAUCGGGUUCUGGUGUCCACCAAGUGGAGAACCGGCGGGGAGAUAACGGAGACAGGCGCAGUGUGCCGGCGGAAUUAUGAAUUAGUUGCACGUUUGUGAACAUGACAUUAAUUUGAGCUGCGGAGGCACAUAUUUAUAAUAGAAUAAUAUAUUUUUAUAUAAAUACUGUAAAAAAAUAAAAAUAUGCUGCCAACAAAUGAGACUUCAUGAAACAAAAGCAACCCAACGAUACUGGAAUUGGUAGGUCCAAUCUGUCAAUUCCCGUCCGUGUUUGCCGGAAGCCCGCAACUGGCCCAGCCCAACCGACGCACAACCCAGUUGAAACAAAUGUUCAAGAACAGGCCCAACGAUGUAAAAAGGAUAAAAAAAUUGUUUUCACCUCAAUAGCAAGCAAGAGUUGAUAGCUCAGGUGGCUAGCAGGUGCAUCCUCAUGGGAAGAGAUAGGUCGUGAGUUCGAUCCGGUUUGGCCUAACCGUCCGGUUCGCCGGUUUUCAGUAAAACUGCCCGGUUCACCCGGUUUUCUUCGGUCCAGUCGCCCGUCCGGUCCAACACCCGGUUCAUUUUUCCAGAACAGCACACACGAAGGCACGCACACAGCCUUGCCUAACCCUGACUAUACAAUGUGUGUCCAACACCUAUUAGAAUUGCUCAUGUGAGUAUACCUAGAUGCAGACUAGAAUUUGUGUCCAACACCUAUUAGGAUUGCUCAUGGUACUGCAUCUAUAUAUAUUGGACAAACUUGCUUGUAAUUAAACAGCAACCCAGAAAAUCGAGAGGAGAAGAAAAGCAGACGCACGUACGAUACGUGAGACGAUGCCUCCUGCAGGCUUACGUAUUGUACUGUACGAGGACACCGAAGCUGUAAUGGCUGCUAGUCUUAUGAGUAUUUGUGUUGUAGGCUGUAAUGGUUAUUAGUCUUAUUUGUUAUGGACUUAUUAUAUAAUGUUGUACACAUGCUUUACUUGUCAUCUACUUGUCAUCUUUUUGCAUACAUGCUGCCUAUUUUUUUCACCGCUAACGAGCUUAACAAGCCCCCGACGAGCGCUCGUGAGCAGUAAACGAACUGAGCCGAACAAGAUUUAAUGUUCGUUAAGGUUAACGAGCAUAAAGAGCCGAAUUCUUAACGAGCCGAGUUCUUAACGAGUUCUUAACGAGCGAGCUCUUAACGAGUGAGCAUGCUCGUUAGCCAGGCCUACUUGUGAGGGCUUACAACAACACAUGUGUGCUAAAAAAAAGGAUGGUUAUACCUGGGACGAAUGAUUUUUAAGCAAAAAUCUUAAAUCUCAAUAAAUGCAUUAUAACCAUUGGGUUAAGAUCCGGUUGCCAUCCUCGCUCGCUCCUCUAACACGUGUUGUACAUCAUUAUAUUACUCUAUUAAGACUCAACGGACCAGCACGUCGACCUAUCUCUAACUAAAAGCAGACGACUUCUUCUUAGCAAAUAAGUAAAAAAAAUAGUUUUUCAGGUUUGAAGCUUCAAGCUUUGGCUAAAAUUUUCAAACUGAUCAAAAAAAUACUUUAAACUUAUCGAAACACAAUCGGUCUUCUGGGUGGAGACGAUCGACAACAGUCUCAUCAAGCCGGCCAGCAGCUUCGUUUUCUCGUACUACUGUUUGGAAAUGAAGCAAUGAUCAUAAGCUCCUUUCAAAAUAACACUUGCGUGUGGCUGAAAUGGCCAUUAGCCUAGCUACUCCUCAAGCGCUGAGCGGUCGACGCUGCUGUGAUUCGCGCCGGACCGACAUCUUCUGCCUCUCGGGACUUCUCCUUUUGUUGCAGGCCCGCACGUGGUGGCGUGACUGACUGACUGAUGGAUGGAUUGCAGGCGAGUUUGGCCAUGCGCACGGACGCGCUUUCCAUCGAGUUGCCCGUACCGUGUCAGCCAGAAGGGGCCAGGAUUAUUAUUGCUAGCUAUAGCAUCCUUUUUUUUUUUCUGUUUGCCGAGACGGACGUGACAAUAGCGCCUGACCAGCCGCGCAGGGGAUUCUUCGCUGCGUUGUACGUACGUUCCAUCGCGUCCGUGCGUGCGGCACCACUGUUGCCACGUUCGUGCGUGACGCAAUGGACUUAUCCGUGGCCUGGCCGGCCGUGUUGUCACGUACGUGGAUCUAUCUACUAAUGGAGCGGCAGCGCUGCCAUAAGUAAACAGCAAGACUGGCCGGGGACAUUUCUUCCGCCUUCCUCCGUGGCAGCACCGGUGCUAUCUUUCAGAAACAGCAGGGCUUUGGGGACUUCCGCUGUAGUUACCCAAGUCUGGUCAGGAUCAGGUUACCGGUAUUUAUGUUGGGGAUACUACAGGGUUUGGAGGCGUCAUGAGUCCUCUGAAAAGAAAAUCUGAAUCGCACCUUCUUCUUUUUUUAAUCGAGUUGUGGAAAUGUUUUAUUACCAAUGUAUUUAUGUCUCCGAACCUGGACCUGUUGUCACGAACCACGACCGUUGGGUCAAUCUCAUCGAACCAGUUAAAAAAAUGAGUAAAAUUAGACAUGUAACUUUAGGAUAUGUUUGGUCCGUAACUAGUGUUGCCACAACUAAAAUUAUGCAAAGUUUGUCUGCCACAACAAGUGUAGUGAAAAAAAUGGCUGGCAAGGUGGAUCAUAUGGCCAGAAAAGUAUGGCAAUGAACCAAACAUAUCCUCAUGUAGUCAUGUGUUGUGGCCUGGCUAAGAUUAGAUGCGGCCACAUUUUAACCCCAAACCAAACAAGCCCGUCAGAAACAUGUGGUGUUCACCAGUAAUACAAAACCUAGCGAUCGGGUCGUUCCUCAAUACUGUAAAACCAGAUGCAUUUCUUCAGAUGGGAGAUUCUCGGGGGGGCGUCUGCGGCGUGCAGCCACACCUUUGUCGCGGGUGGCUUUUGAGUCCUACCACAUCAGGUCUGUUUGGCUGUGGCCUGUGGGUGCUGGCUGCCAUAGCGUACUUGUUUGCUUGUGGUGCUGGCUUACUGGUUUGGCACUUUGGCUGGCGCUCGGUACCGCUGGAUGUUUUGGUUUAUUUCCUGCAAGGCUGCGAACUCAUACACUUGGUUUUCGUUAAUGAAACUGGGAACCCUUUAAUGGAAAAAAGAGGUGGUUUCCGAGUCGCUUGUCUUUUCCCGAAUUGCUAAUUAUAUCACAAUGAACAGAACAUAUGAUGAAGUCUGAACAAUAUUACAUAUGGGCUCAGCCCACUUGAAAAAAAGAGAGGCUAUGCUUGUGUGUUUGAAGCAAUAAAUCCGGUGAUCCAGUGAGAACAAUGCCUGUCUAAAUUCCAAGCUGAGUUCACCGUGUGAAAUAACAAAUUUUCCUACAUCAGAAAGUACACAAAGUUGUCUUCAAGAUUGAGGCCAUCCUGGAACUCUCUGUACUGUAGAGGAUUCUUUUGAGGAGAUGAUAUCUUGUAAGUCCUGUGGUGAUAAUAGCUUUGUAGAAGGCUCAAAGUCAUUAUCAUGGGAGAGCGCUGUUUCUGGCCCUGUUUGUUGGAUUGUGAAGUGCUCGCUAAGGGCGGCAAUUAGCCCUUCGGUAAAAACUGACCUUGAUGGCAUAUACUCGUUCAUGCGGCAUAAGAAAUCUGUGUGGUUCCGCGCCUGAAAAAUAUAGGAGCCAUUUAAUUUGGAAAUCGUGGGAUCAAAGCUAAUCAGUCAAACUACACAAGCAUUUUAUGCAAGCCAGACCGUUGCAGCCAAUACUGGUGAUAAACCAGUAUGCACUACUCAACUCACUGCUUUCAGCUAGCUACUUUGUUCAAGUAUCCCCAAAGAAACGCUUACAUUGAAAUACCUUGAAUCAUUCACACUUCAGGUUUCAAUACAGGUAAAAUUGUAAACCGCAAUCUCACUCUUACACUUUCUUACUGCCUCUCGAUGGAACUAUCUUCUAAAAUUAGAAUUAACUGAUUAGUGAAAGCUGUUCCUGGGUAAACUAGGACAACGAUCGCACCAAGAUUUGGACGUGUAUCUAUUCUAAGCAGAAAUUUCCAUAUUCAGCAGAAUUCAGCUGUCACUUAGGGUACAAUAAAACCACCUGAUCGAAAAACAUCUAAGUAAUCCACUGCCAGUUGUUCAGUGGUUUACAUAGCCUGUCAUCCUGAGCUGUUCAGGAAAUAGUAGGAAAGAUAGCCACUGGCCAACUACUCAUACCUCAACUUGAUUCGCUAUGUUUGUGGAAAUAUACCAACACUGAUCAACCUUAAAUUUGAUAAAGAUAACAAACCACAAAAACUGAUAUCCAGACAUACUAGCCAGAGUUCAAGUUUAUGAAUUCCACGAUCUGUUUAAAAGGUUAAAACUUUAAUGAACUGGUAAUUGAUUGGAGGAAAAAUAUAACGGAGAGAACUUACAAGCCGAUAUUCAGGAGCACGUUUUGGGUUUUUAAGAUAAUUCAUAUUUUUGACGUCAUAAUCCCAUAAGAAUGAUGUGUGAUGUACCCAACGAUCUUUUGUUAUGGACUGAGCAUUUCCACCAAAUUUUCGAUGACUAAAUGCAUAGUCUGCAAAUAUUAAGACAAGUUUAGUCUUCAAAAAAUAUGCAGAGCAAGAACAUUACUGGCAUCCCCAAGUAUUCAUUCAAAUUCAUAUACCAGAUCCAGGAUCAAUCUUUUAGGAAUAUAAUUUCAAAUUUGGAAUGAGAUAUGCUAAAUAGACAUAGUAUCAAUAGAACUAGUAGAAAAUGACCCAUUCAAUUGCUUUGAGAAUCCUUGCAAAACAAUACGUAAAUACAAAAGGACUAUAACAUAUUGACAGAGGAUGUUUAAACUUUGAAAUAACAACUAUAUGUUUCAACGAAAAUUAGAUUUUUUUACUUGCAUGAUAUGUGAUUCCACGGCUCUCUUGUAAUCAGUGCAAUGUAAAGUUGUAGGUUAUAGAGACAAGUUUAGUGUGCUGCAACUGGUCAAUAUUCGAUACAUGGGAAAUGGGGAACCCUGAGCCAUCUAGAGACCUAAGUACAAUCAACAAAAAUAGUAUAAACAAUAGAUAAAAAUAGUAUAACAGGAGAGAAGAUGAAACAGAAACUAGCGAUCAGUGAUGUACACCACCAAUUAAAUGUUCGAGACAAUGCAUAAUCAAAGGCAUGAUCGAGCACGAUGAAGGUUCUAGUUGACUAAUAUCAAACAAUGAGACUGACAUUAAACUGGAUGAUGGUGAAAUGCUGUGCUGAUUUGACAUACCAUUUUCACGCAGCUGAAAUUCACCAAACCCGUGGAACACUUUACCAUAUAGCUGGCCUGUCCAUGACAUGAUGUCGCGAGGAAACGGCUGCAACCCAGUGACAGCAGUCUUAUUGCAUAUGAAGGUCACGAACACAGUUCCCUGAUCAACAAUGACAGUGCCACCUCCACUGAAUCUCCUUACAACUGGCACGUUAUCCCGAAGAACAGGCUCUACCUCAACAAGUUCAGAGACUUUCCUGUCGACAAGGAAACCACAUUAACAACUGAACUUCACUAGGCACACACAAACGAAGGAAAAAUGCUGAUGAAACCAAGAUGAUAUACCCGGAGACACCCAUGACAAUGGUGGGAGGAGCCGUGCCGUCAUUGACAAUACACCAGUUGUCACUGGUGCGACGCAGCAACCGUUCUUCCAGGUGCAGCUGCUGCAGGAUCGGUGCGCCGCCCAUGCUUAUCAGCCUCAUGAGCGGCCUUUGCACGUUCCUCUCGACGACGGACCCAAAAGCCAUUAUUGACUGUAUGACGUCAAACUCACGGGCGGAGGACCCAGUAGGGCAACCGCCCUACCUUGUUUUUCGACUCAGUUACGAAUUGGGGGAGAUUAAGGAGGUCAAACGGGGAGCUAAAGGGCGGUUCGUGGGGCGAUGGGAGGAGAAACGGUCGGGAGCAAGAGAAUCGAAGGGUAGAUCAACCGGCGGUGGCGGCGCUCGCGCGAGGACGCCGAGGAAGACGAGCGAGGGGGCUGGGGCGCUCGGCAGCGAGAUGGGCUAGAAGGAGGGAGGGGAGCGGCCCAGGAAGGAAAAGAAGAAGAAGGGAGACAUUGGGUGCGGCCCAUAUGGUCAAAGGGAGGCCAAAAAAUAAAGUUUCAGACAAAGUAUGUUGCCGAACACCUCGUGUUCAAGCUUUGACUCCUUCAGAUUCCCCUAAAAAAAAGGCUCCUUCAGAUUGCUACAGUGCAUUGGGGGACACCCAGCCAGGACCAGCUAAGCUCGGAGGCCAACAAUUGACUACCGUUCAAGGUUCAGGUUGUGCUACAGUUCUACUACAGAGUAGUUUUAGUUGGCAAACAGUUUAGGUAAACAAACGAUGUGUCGGUUGAGCUGAAAUUUGGUCAGGUUGUUGGAAACUCAUGUGUAUGCUUUGUCUUGCCAAAUUUCGUGUAGUUUGGACCAAGGUUUGUGAGUAGUUUGACAAAUUAUCGAAUGGAACAAAAUGUGUUGAUUCUGCACUUCCGUUGUCCUACCCUCUUGUGGUUGUUACUGUGGUUAGCGAUUUGUAAUGUUUUAGCGUUUGUUGUAAUCUAUAGAGGUUCUAGAGAAAAUUAUGUAUCAAUUUGCUUAUAUUGGAAGUUGCAUGACCGGUUGAUCUAAAACCAUGUGUUUUUUUUAAAAAAAAUACAUGUUUUUCACUCCUCACCUUGACAUUUUUCUACCUUAAAUCUAUGUGCAUCUUGAUUUCUUAUUUCCAUCGUUAUUUGUUGAUUGAAGCUAUCCUUCAAAUUUACCUUAGGUGGAGCGAAGAAUUGGUUUGUGUUUGGUGUCCUCUUGCAUACUUCAUGCUACACUGCUACCUACUUGUUACGAUUACUCUUUAGAUCUUAUGAAAUGACACCUAGUAGUAAAAAGGCUUCCUGAUAAGGAAUAUGCAUUUUUUAAACUCAAAAGGAAUUUAAUAUUUGGAACAAGUCAAGGAAAGCAGGAAUUUCAGAAUCGGAAGAGUAGAGCAUUCAGCAUUGGGUCUGGAUUAGCUAAUUUUUGUCAUCACCUGCUCCCUCCGUUCUGAAAUACAGGACAUACAUGUUUUUCAAAAUUUAACUCCGACAAACAAUUAGUACACCUAUACAUUUAUAUACUUGUAUUGUGUGAUAUACAAUUGUCAUUAUUGGCCACGUACAAAGGAACUUUUCAUUGAUAUCAAUUUUAUACUAUGAACUAAUCCAUGUAUAUAUAUUUAGACAAAUUGUUGGUCAAGGUUAAAUCUUGAAAAAAAACAUGUGUGCGCUAUACUUUUAACGCGAGAGUAAUUUUUUUGAAGUCACUUUAGCUAGGAAUUAAUAAUCUUUAAUUUCCAUAUCCGAGAAAUCGAGCCACUUGGAUAUAUACAAGCGCAAAAAAAAACAGUUAAUUAAUAAGCACAAUGCUAUUAGGCACAACAAAGAUCAUCAUCGUCACAAGAUACUACAGCACUGAACCAUCAGCUUCCUCUGUAAUGUACAUACCAAUCACAUCCACUCCUCGAUCCACCAUGCAUCCAUACACAUAGCAUGCAUAACACUAGCACGGAGUAGUACUUUACAACACAAAUUAAGUGCAUUGUCGACCAUUUCAACUAGAGAGACAUAUCGUCCCAUCAAUCAAUUUUACAUGCAUGCAUCAAUCUGCCUCCAGCACCAGCAGGCACACGUCGACUUAAUUAGCCGGAGAAGGUCUGGAUGAUGGUGUUGUGCCACGGGUCAGACAGGUGCUGGAACAGGUUGUCGAGCGGCCCUUUUCCGGUGACCGCGUGCUGCACCGAGAAACCCAGGUACGCCAGCAUCGCCAGCCUCCCUACAAAAUCACAAAACGACCAAUUAAAUUCCUUUUCCGUUUGAGAUCUGGCCGUAGGAACUACUCCAGUAACUGGAAGAAGGGCAUGUAUGUACCGUUGGCGAUCUCCUUCUCCUUGGCCUCGAGCGUGGGCGCGAAGUUGAGCGGGUUGAAGACGCUGCCGGGGUAUCCGCACUCGUGGGGCGGCAGGCUGUAGCUCUUGAAGAUGGGGUCCUGGUUGACGCAGCCGGGCUCCUUGAUGUCCUGCCACCGCCGGAUCUCCACGUAGUGGAACAGGAUGAACUCCACGACGAAGAGCGUGGAGGAGGAGGCGAAGUAUGUGGACUUGCCGGCGUCGUACCACUCGGGGGCGUUGAUGAGGCCGAUCUUGGUCAGCAGCUCCGGCGUCAGCAUCCCCGCCACGCCCAGCAUCGCCCACCGCCCGUUCACCAGCUCCGCCUGCACGUACCACCGCAGGUUCUCCGGGUCCUCCGCCAGCCCCAACGGGUCGAACCCGUUGUCACCCGGCAGCCUGCGUCAAAUUAAUUAAUAUGCAUGUGUGUAAGCACCACUGACAGUGUUCGUUAAAUAUUUGGCCGGUUUUAUUGUAUGGAAUGUGCCAACUUACUUGCCGUCGAGGUAUGCAGGGGAGGGGAGGCCGGGGAGCCACUCGCCCUUGGCCUCCACCCGGAG
RNAcentral lists this long non-coding RNA (66254 nucleotides) under Brachypodium distachyon (stiff brome). Its description in RNAcentral is "long non-coding RNA (BDIS_LNC003694)". The stretch from base 20673 to 20807 matches the Rfam family "MIR1120/MIR1122 microRNA precursor family". Lineage: Eukaryota; Viridiplantae; Streptophyta; Magnoliopsida; Poales; Poaceae. The record is from RNAcentral.